Molecule: long non-coding RNA, 64487 nt
Filed under: Phaseolus vulgaris (common bean)
Lineage: Eukaryota; Viridiplantae; Streptophyta; Magnoliopsida; Fabales; Fabaceae
Description: long non-coding RNA (PVUL_LNC003680)
Source: RNAcentral
GAAAUUCCAUCUAAACUCAAUAUUCUAACCACACUUGAAGUAUUAAGUGUGGCACACAACAACUUAUCAGGCCCAAUACCUGAAUGGACAAAUCAAUUUGCCACAUUUGAUGAGAGUAGCUAUGAGGGUAACCCAUUUCUUUGUGGACCUCCAUUACCAAAGAGUUGUCAUCCAACUCCUAGAGUUAUUUCAAAUGACUUGGAUUCUGACAAAGACAAUGAUAGGUUGGUAGAUAUGUAUAUCUUUUAUGUGAGCUUUGUUGUAUCAUACACGUUAGCAUUGUUAACAACUGCAGCAGCUCUAUGCAUCAAUCCUUCCUGGACACAAGCAUAGUUUAACUACAUGAAAUUUGUCAAUUUUAAAUUGUUACUACUUUAUCGUGGACAAUUUUUUAAAUUUUGUAAUACUAAAAAUAUGUAACAUGUAUAUUUAUUUCGUUGUUUUCUUUUAAAAGUGACUUAAUAAAAAAAAAGUCAUGCAUGUGUGGCUUAAUAUAAUAAUAUGAAAUCUAAAUUUUGUAUUCAUUAAUGUUAAGGAUUUUUUUAGUCUUUUAAGUUCUUCAUUAUACUGUGAGAGAAUCUAGAUAAGAUAUUUUUUUAUAUCACAUCAAUUAAUAUUAAGACUUCAUAUGUUUUUAGUAUUUAUAAAACAGGUUAACUUGGUUGAGGUGAAAAAAUUUGUAGUCUAUAUAAAAUCAUGAUAUUUUAUUUUAGUCUUUAAAAUCUUGUUUUUAGUAUCUAUGUCUUAGAAUCUGAACGAGACAAAGUUAUGAUUUAAUAAAAAUUAAAAGUGAUUUAAUUUUUUAUUUAAUAGUAAGAACUUGCUAACAGAAAAUUAUGGAAACUAAAAGUUUUAGUGAAAUGUAGUAGAAAUUAAAAAAUUACUCUAUUUAAAAGAACACUUGAAUCCCUUAAUAAUAAUUUAAAAUCAUGAUUCACUUAAAAUUUUAUACGAUUUAUUUUCCACACGCAUUAUUUUUUACCCACCACCCAUUUGUAUGUAGUAUCUAUCUGUUACUCGAAAACACAUUAUUAAUGUUACAGUAAAAAAAUUAUUAAAUAUAAUUAAUUCAAUAUAUUACAAAAAAAUUUAUUAAAUAUAAAUCAAUUUUAGAGAAAAAUAAUAAUAAUAAUUAAUUAAUUAAAUUAGAUACUAUUUUAGAUAUUAAAAAAAUUAUUAGUAUCUAAAUUAAUUUCUCUUUUUAAUAAAUAAUUUCUAAAUUAAUAUUUAAUUAAUUAUCAAAGUUUUAGUUAUUAACUUAAGAAUCUAAAUAAUUGGUAACAAAAAUAUUUAUAACUAAUUAGAUACCUAUUUAACUACUAUUUAUAAAUAACAACAACUAAUUUAAAUACCAAAAAUUUUUAGUCUCGACAAUAGUAUCUAAUUUAGUUAAUAUAACUAAUUAUUUUUUUGUCUCUAAACGUUGUUUGUAUUUAAUGAUUAGUGUUACUUUAUGAUUUCACAGAAGUAUAUUACUACACUAUGAACAUAAACUAUAUAUUUUUUUCAUAACUAGGGAUGUUAAGGAAUUUAGCUGUUGUUAUACAAGCCAAGGACUCAAAGUUACAUUCAGUUACGAUUCCUAUUGAUAAUCAUCAUGUGGAGAUCUCUGCUCUUGUGGCUUUACCAUCUCCAUUGCGUCCUACCUCACCUCGGAAGGCUAAAUCACCUGCAGAUUCUAAAGCACCAAUUAAUACUCCAAUUGAUAGUCAUCAUGUGGAGGUCUCUACUAUUGUGACUGCACUAUCUUUGUCGCCUCAUACCACCCCUCGGAAGGCUAAAUCUCUUGGGGAUGUUAAAGCACUAUCGUUGGUCCUGCAAAAUCAUUUUUUCUCUCUGAGUGGUUUGGAAACUACAUAUGUUAUUUCAAAAUUUUGGGUUGAUCCUAAUGAGAUGGAGGAGGAUGCCAGUGAUACUGGGGAGAAAAUAGUUUGCACUAAGAGAAAAAACAGGGAGACCACCUAGGGGACUGGUAAAUAAAUAAAAAACUGCUUGGGCAAUUCUCUCUACAACGUUGCAAUGUGGAGAUGUUGAUUAGUUUACUUAAACUACAUAAAACCUCCUAGUUUUUCUUGUUGAACCUAUGAUGUUGUAUACUGAUUCUUUCGACGUCCUUUUCAAAUAUGUUAAUAUGCAUUUGGUGACUACGUCUCCUAUUGUUAAUAAAGCGUCUAAACUGUGGUGUUUGUUGGUUCCUAAUCUUAUCCAAAAUUUCUUAGUCAAUGAUCAGUUUAUUUUUGUAACUUGUCUUCUACAUGAUAAAUGUUUUAGCUUUGUAGGUGUUCAUGCUGCUACCACAUACUUGGUAGAUGAUUUUUGUGGAUGGAUCUUAGUUUCUUCAUAGGGUCGUGGUGUAUUCUGGGAGAUUUUAAAGGGGGCGACUCUUAAUCAGGUUUCCUGUAGUGAAUUCCUUAAUGAUCUUUCUUGUAUGCCUUUUACUGGAUCUUUUUAUACUUGGUGUAAUGGAAGGAGAGGGUUGCAUAGAACUCAUAGAAGAUUGGAUAGGGCUUUAUGUAAUGGAAUGUGUCUGGAUGAAUGAGACUCUUGUACUUAUCAAGUUCUUGUUAAAAACUGUUAUGAUCAUCCCCCUAUUCUUGCUAGUCUUGUAGUAAUUCUUUGAGGAAGGUUAGCAAUUUUCGUUUCUUUUCUAUAUGACUUCAGAACACUUCAUGUCUGAAGCUUAUUCAUGAUUCUUUGGCUAAUAAGGUUGUUCGUUGUCCUAUGCUUAUUUUGCAACAUAAGUUAAAAAUGUUGAAAAUUGACCUCCAAGACUGGAAUAAAAAUUCUUUUGGUAAUGUUCAUAAUGAAGUUCUUCUUAAGCAGGGUCUUCUCCUUGGUAUUCAACAAAACUUAGAGACUGUCAGUUUGUCUAAUAUUGUUGGGCUUCUCUGUCAAGAAAAGAUUGUUAAGGAGGAGUUUGAUCAUGUUCUUCACUGUCAAUAUUUGUUUUGGAAAGAAAUGGCUAAGUUGUUAUGGUUCAAAGAUGGAGAUCGAAAUACUGCUUUUUUCCAUGUUGUGGUCAAAAGGAGAAAUAAUUCUAGUGGGAUUCAUCUUCUACGGAUUGAUAAUAAGGUUACUCAGGAUCCUAAACUCAUUGAGGAUUAUAUUUUGGACUUUUAUAAAAAUCUUUAUGCUGAGUCUAUUUCUAAUGUUCUGGAUACAAGUAAUAUGCUUGGAACUUUGUUUAUAGCAACAAGCCUUGAUCUUUGCUCUUGAAAGUCAGAGUUCUUAAAUCCAAAUACGAUUUUAGAAUGGUUUAUAGAUCCUCAUUUCUUUGGCCUAGAAUUAAGCAAUUUUAUUCUACUAUACUUGAUUAUACUUCUUGGAUGGUUGGUACAGGUUCUUUUAUUAAUUUCUGGAAUGAUAAAUGGUGUUCAACAACUUCUUUAACAAAUAUUGCAGCGUUAUCUGAUGGUGCUAGCAUUCCGGAUCUAGUCUCUCAGUUUUGGACAAGUUGUGAUUGGAAUAUUCCCUUAUCUGUACAGCAGAUGCCUCAUUUUUUUUUAAUCAUAUCAUGGUUAGGGAGGAACAAGAUAUUUCUAAUUGGAUUCUAUAUGAUUCUAUUCGUUUAACUCUUAAACUGGUUAGGACUUUUAUCUUGGAACCAGGAGUUCUCUGUGGUUGGGGUAAAUUCAUUUGGUCUUCAUCUAUUCCGGCUUCCAAAACUAUGGUACUCUGGAAAGUUUUUCAUGGGCAGCUUCCGACAGAUCAAUAUAUUCAUAAUAAAGGUUUGCAUAUAUGUUCUAUGUGUACGCUUUGUGAAAAGCAUGAGGAAUCUAUCCAACAUUUAUUUUUUAAUGUUCUAAUGUCUUACAUAUUUGGAGUUGGGUUUGGCAGAUUUUUCUUACUUCUCAUUUCUCUAAUAAAGUUGAUUUUCUUUCCUUUAUUAAGAGCGAAGGUAGUCCUUUGGUUAAAUUGAUUAAGCUUGUUGUCAAAACUUUUUCUAUUUGGAUGACGUAUGAGGAAUUAUGCUAGACUUCAGGAUAAGAUUGAGCUAUUUCGAUUAUUAAAGAUUUAACUUGUCUAGUGGGAAAUUCGUCUAAAGCUUCAAUGAAGAAUGAUAUGUUGGAUUUCAAAGUGAUUAUGUUUUUUGGUAUUAAUACUCAUAGUGGUAAAGUUCUUCGUCAUCUUCCUGUUAGAUGGGAUUUUCCUUCACCAGGUUGGGUUAAAAUUAACACUGAUGGUGCUGCUAGGAGUAUCCUGGUCUUGCUACUUGUGGAGGUAUUUUCCAUAGGAGUAUAGGGGAGUUUAUUUGUGCUUUCUCUGCAUUUUUUGAAGUUCAAACUUCUAUGGCUGCUGAGUUUUAUGAAGUUAUACAUGCUAUGGAGGAAGCUCAAAAGAUGGGGCUUACUAAUGUGUCUGGCUUGAAUGUGAUUAUGUGUUGGUUUAUGUUGCGUUUACUGCUAGGACUAAUGUUUCGCGAAUGCUUCGUAAUCAAUGAAAUACUUGUCUUAAUUAUUGUGUGAAAAUCAGGUUCGUGGUUACUCAUAUUUUUCAUGAAGAAAAUGCGUGUGCUGAUAAAUGAGCUAAUUUAGGAUUUAUUCAUAGAGAAUCAUUUCAUUGAUAUAAUAGACUUCCAUCUAGUAUGUUAUUAGAAUUAUUUAUGAAUAGGUAUAAUCUACCUAUGUAUUGUUUUUGUUAACAUAUAGAUUUUAGUCUAGUCCCCUCAUAUUUUUGUAUUUUUUUUAAUAAUACUUUUUUUACUGUGAUAGCAAAUGAUUGUUAUUACUUGAGGUGUCAAUCUAGUUGAGAUUUCAAGUUGUAUAGUGAUGCCUAAUAUGAAAGUUUUUAUAAAAAAAAACAUAAACUAUAUAUUGUUUUAUAAUUUUUUAUUAAUCAUUUUAUAUCCAAUAAAUAUUGAAUAUGUUUAUAAAAAAUUAAACCCAUUCUGUUAUGUUCCAAUACAAUAUAUAAAAAUUAAUACAAUUUAUAAACUAAGAAAUAAUCAUUGAUAUAGCAUAUAAUACCAUUUUUCUAACUAAUUGAGCAAGAUCAUUCUUCUUCUUAUGAAAUAGUAAUUGUAAUGGCACCUAAAGAAAAAAGAAAAAAGAGAAUAAAGAAUAGAGUGUAACUGGUGCCGAACACGAGCUAAAUAUGACUCUACUUAGCUAACAGACCCCAUGUAAGGUAAACAAAAUACAUGAGAAGAGCUAUAAAAAUUACUGUUUUAAUUUGCUCUCUAUGGUUAGAGUAUCUCAUUACAUAAGAGACAUAAUACUAACUCAUUAAAACACACAUCACAUAAUAUAUUAUGGUAACUUAAUAUUUAAUAUGACACCUAUAAAAAGGAUUUUACUGUAAAAUUAGUAACAAAUGUGACUCACAACACAGUUUGCAAACUUGGAUUCCUAAAUUUCUGUUAGUGGAGCUUAGCUUAUCUUCAACCAUUGAAACUAGUUCUUUUCAGCUUCCCAAAUUUCUUCUUUAUCAAAAAUAUUUAACUAGUAUAGAUUUUAGUAGUUUGAAGUUGGAAGGAGGGUUUCCUAAUUGGUUGUUAGAAAACAACACAAGGUUAACUGAAGUUGUUUUUAGAAAUUGUUCUUUGAAUGGUACUAUGCAAAUACCAUUGCGCCCCCUUCUUGAGUUACGAAGUAUUGAUGUGUCUAGCAAUACCAUAAUUGGUGAAAUCCCAAGCAAGAAUAUCAGUUUUAUUUAUCCAAAUUUGAGAUAUUUAAACAUGUAUAGAAACCACAUCCAAGGUUCAAUUUCUCGUGAGUUUGGCCGAAUGAAGUUGUAUUUGUUGGAUCUUUCAGACAACCAAUUGUUAGGAAAAAUAUCAGAGGACACAUUCGAAGCUUGGCACCAACUUCAUUUCUUGGAACUCUCAAAUAAUAAGUUGGAGGGACCCAUUUUUACAAUACCCACUAGUUUGGAGUUUUUAUCAUUGAAUGAUAAUAACUUUAGUGGUAGACUUCCUACGAACAUUUUUAACACAUCCAUUGUCUCAUUGGAUGUAAGCAAUAAUCAUUUGGUAGGAAAGAUUCCAAGACUUCAGAAUAAUUUAUCAACACUAUGGGAAAUUCGUAUGUCCAAUAACCACUUUGAAGGAUUCAUUCCGUUAGAAUUAACACAACUUGAAGAUCUAAAAUAUUUAAAUCUCUCCCAAAAUAAUUUGUCUGGUCUUGUACCAUCAUUUAUAAAUUCUUCUGUGAAAUUUAUCCAUUUGAGCAAUAAUCAUUUAGUAGGAUUGCCCAAAAAAAUGUUCACUGAAAACUCUUCUCUAGUGAUGUUGGACCUUAGUUACAACGAAAUAUCUGGUGGCAUUCAAGAUAUGAUUAAAGACCUCAGUUAUUCAAAGUUGAAUUUUCUCCUUUUAAAAGGUAAUCACAUUUAUGGGGAUAUACUUAAGCAAUUAUGUCAAUUGAUAAAUUUAACCAUGCUAGAUCUUUCAGACAAUAAACUUUUGGGAGAAAUUCCACAUUGCUUGGGAACAAUGCCUUUUGAUAUUAACAACCUUGAUCCAUUAUUAAAAGCAUCCAAGGGAAGUUUUGUUGAAGAAUAUAGUCUACGACAAUCACAAACAGAGCAUAAGAAAGAGAAAGCAAGUUUCACUUCAAAGAAAAGAAUUGAUACUUACACGGGAAGCAUCCUUAUUUAUAUGUGUGGAGUUGACUUAUCCAAUAAUAAAUUGAAGGGGAAUAUUCCUUACGAGCUUGGAAACUUGACAAAAAUCCAAACAUUGAACUUGUCUCAUAAUGAUUUGAUUGGACAAAUUCCAUAUUCAUUCUCGAAGUUGAUGCAAAUAGAGAGUUUAGAUCUUUCUUUUAAUAAGUUGAGUGGUGAAAUUCCUUCUAAACUCAAUAUUCUAACCACACUUGAAGUAUUAAGUCUGACACACAACAACUUAUCAGGCCCAAUACCUGAAUGGAGAAAUCAAUUUGCCACAUUUGAUGAGAGCAGCUAUGAGGGUAACCCCUUUCUUUGUGGACCUCCAUUACUAAAGAGUUGUCAUCCAGCUCCUAGAGUUAUUCCAAAUGACUUGGAUUAUGACAAAGACAAUGAUAGGUUGGUACAUAUGUAUGUCUUUUGUGUGAGUUUUCUUGUAUCAUACACGUUAGCAUUGUUAACAACUGCAACAACUCUAUACAUCAAUCCUUCUUGGAGACAAGCAUGGUUUAACUACAUGGACGUUGUCAUUUCAAAUUGUUACUACUUUAUUGUGGACAAUUUUUAUAGAUUUUGUAAUGCUAAAAAUAUGUAACAUGUAUAUUGUAUGCUUAGGAUAUUUGUUUCGUUGUUUCCUUUUAAAAGUGAUUUAAUAAAAAAAGUCAUGCAUAUGUGACUUAAUAUAAUAAUAUGAAAUCUAAAUUUUGUAUUCAGUAAAUUGUUGUUAAGGCUUUUUUUUUCAGUCUUUUAAGUUCUUCGUUACACUGAGAGAAUCUAGAAUAUUUUUUUAUAUCACAUCAAUUAAUAUUAAGGCUUCAUAUGUUUUUAGUACUUAUAAAACGAUUAACUUUGUUGAGGUGAAAAAAUUUGUGAGCAAAUUUAUAGUCUAUAUAAAAUCAUUAUUUCAUUUUAGUCUUUAAAAUCUGAACGACAAAGUUAUGAUUUAAUAAAAAUUAAAAGUGAUUCAAUUUUUUAUUUAAUAGUAAGAACUUGCUAACAGAAAAUUAUAGAAACUAAAAGUUUUAGUAAAAUGUAGUAGAAAUUAAAAUAAUUACUCAAUUUAAAAGAACACUUGAAUCCCUUAAUAAUAAUUUAAAAUCAUGAUUCACUUAAAAUUUUAUAUGAUUUUAUUUUCAACACGCAUUAUUUUUUACCCACCACCCAUUUGGUAAAAAAUGUAUAAAUGAAAAUUCGGGAAAUAGGAGAAAGAAUACACAUGUUCCGUCAUUAUGCAGUGUAUGUAUAAUGUAACUGUAACAUCCAAUUUAUAAUGCUUGAUGAUAGUUUGCAUGAUUGUACAUAUGAUCUAGCAACUUGGUGAUGAUAGUUUGCAAGUAGUAAAUGGCACCUCUGAGGUAUUUGCCUUGCUCCCUUUACAAGUCGAGAAAACAAAGCAACUUUGGCAAUUUGAGAGAAAGGCUUCAAUGAAGUGCCUUCUAACUUUUAAUGAAGCAGCCUCUCAUACCUAUGUUCAAAGCAUAUUUAAUUACGUAUGCCAAUUAAAGUGAUACGAAAUCUUAGCAGUGAAGAGCUGGCAAAACAAUGUCCUACGAAACUAAAAUGCAUCCAUAAAAAUAAAUAAAUAACACAACCUUCCGGAGUAUACAUGCGACUUUUUUCUCAUAUAUCAUUAUUUUCACUUUUAUUUUCUUAAAUAACACCCUUUUGUUUUUAUUUUUCUAUCUAACACCGUUUUAUUUUUAUUUUUCUAUCUAACACCGUUUUAUUUUUAUUUCUCCAUGUAGCAUCGUUUCUUCCCAUGGUUUCAUUUUGUAUUUAAAAAAAAAAAAACUCUCUUAGAAUUUGGUUUUUGGGAAGAUGUUUUUAGAAUUUUUUAUUUCUCUGUCUACAGUGAAUGGAAAAGAAAAAAAGAAAUAUAAAAUAGAAUAAAAAUAAGUUGAAGAACCUAUAAAAUCAAAUAAAAAUAAAAGGAAUUAAUAAAUUAAAAAUAAUUGAUAAUUUUAAUUUUAAUUUUGGAUGCAUUAAAAAAUAAAUGUAUUGGUUGUAAAAAAAAUAUUUUUAAUGUUUAAAAUAGUUAGAAAUAUAAAUAUUGAAGAAAGAAAUUAGUUUUUGCAAAAUAAAGUUCUUGUUGUGGCUGGUAAUAAUUUGUCGCAACUGCAAAUGAAUGUCGAUAAGGAUCAUGUUGUUCAUUGUUGUAAUUAGUUGCAGAUGGGAAUGUGGACUCCAACGGUGGCUUUUGUUGUGUGCGUGGAUCAUUUAGUAACUACGGCACUCACAAGAAAUAUAUUGAAUUAGUCAUGUACAAUUCCAUGUAAACUCCCAGGAAAGAGAGGUGAGUCAUAUGUUGACAAACUCUUAAAACCCAAGUCUUUCCUAUCACAUGCAAACAAGAAUGAUGUCCCAAGACAUGAAAAAGGAAGAAUAAAAUAUAUUUUCUCUAAAAAGCAUAAUUAUGCAAGCUGCAACAAUUAACUUGAGGGUACAAAGCACAACAUUGACUCUUCAACAAAAUCCCAUAGAUACAUGCCCGCCAUAAAUACAAAACUUUAUUAUCUUAACAAACAAAAAUGUAAUGACAUUUUACCAGUAAUAACUAUUAAGUAAAUUACAGAGGCAAAAAAUGAAGAACUAGUUUGUAUCAUUUACACGUUAUACCACAUUAAACAUGCAAGAAAAUAAACCGGGUGAGAUUAUAAAGGCUUUCCCUCACAAAUAUUAAGCUAAAAAGAGAGGGGACAAUUUGCGUCAGUUAGACUAUCUCUUUGAACUCUUCAUUCCUGUCUUAUUAUAUUUGUUUUACAAAAUAAAGUGGAUCACAUUAACAAGACAUUUGGAGCAUAUACAGAGGUGAAUGCAGUCUAACUUGCAUAUACAAGCAUAUGCUAUAUUGUUUAAGCAAUUCAAGAAGUAGACAUCAUAUUUUAAUUUUUAACUUUAAUUUUGUAUUCAUUCAACUAGUAUCUUGUUUUACAUUCACUAUCAGAAUGUAAAAUUUCACAUUAAAUUGUUUUACCUGAACUUCCCAGAAAGGGUAACUGUGACCAUAUAACAAACAAGAUUGGCAUUAAUUUUGGUACUUCAUAAUNNNNNNNNNNNNNNNNNNNNNNNNNNNNNNNNNNNNNNNNNNNNNNNNNNNNNNNNNNNNNNNNNNNNNNNNNNNNNNNNNNNNNNNNNNNNNNNNNNNNNNNNNNNNNNNNNNNNNNNNNNNNNNNNNNNNNNNNNNNNNNNNNNNNNNNNNNNNNNNNNNNNNNNNNNNNNNNNNNNNNNNNNNNNNNNNNNNNNNNNNNNNNNNNNNNNNNNNNNNNNNNNNNNNNNNNNNNNNNNNNNNNNNNNNNNNNNNNNNNNNNNNNNNNNNNUAACUAGACUUUUACAACAUGCAAAACAAUUUGGUCAUGCUCAAAAUAUUUGCCCCACCACAAGUAUGAUUAGGCUUUCCAGGAGAUAGUUGAUAACGAUAUCUGCAUAUUGAUUAUGUUGAUAAAUAUUAAAGUGUGCCAAAAACAAGAAUGUAGAACAAGUAGAACUAAAUAUUAAACACUUUUGUGCAUGUGCCUGGUGUAGUAUCUCCUAGAUAUACCAAAACAAAACACAAUUUAUCUAAAAACUUCCUAAAAAACUUAAGCAUUGUACAAAGAUCACCCACCUCUCUCACUCCUAACCUUUUUCCUUCAUCACCAACCAUCUUUCCAAUAAACCAACACCUCUUCACUCCACAGUUCAAUCACGUUCUAUCAUUGCUAACCUCUCUCACUCCAAAUCGUUCAAUCACGUUCAGUAAAGAGAGAGUCCAAAUGUGAGUAUAGAUUGAGAAAAUUAAGAAGAAAACAAAAAUCACCACAGAAACAAAAAAAUUAAGCAAGAGUAUAUGAAAUAAACAAAUCGAUCCUUGCGGAAUGCAAUCAAAGUAAUUGAAACACACUUUGCACAAAGGAAACACGAUUUGUAGAGGAAUCAGUUCGGUGGUGGACCAAAGGUAGAAGAAGCUUCCAAAGUCAUUCCGAAAGUGUUUGGCAGUGCGAUGAUGAGGUCCAAUGCAGUGGGUAAAGUGAGAGUUAAAGGAGAAAUUAUACGUUUAUAGGAGAGUGGAGAAAUUAGGGGUUUUCUGAGAGAAAUUAUGAGUCUAUUGGAAAAAAAAAAUACAAAAUUCUAUAUUAAAUUAUUUGAAAAAUAAUUAAUUGAAUUUAUUUACUAGAGUUUGAAAAAACCUAAUGUAGUUCUUCAAGGUUAUGUAAUAAACUUUUAGAUUUUAAUGGAGAUUAAAACAACCUUUGCUAGUCAAAUGCAUUGUUGAAGUUUAUAUAACCUCAUAUAAAUAACCCCCACUAAAAUCAAUUUUUUUUAUAAUGAUGUUGGUGAUCAAAUUUUGAAACCAUAACAAGGAUGCUAGAAAUCAAACAAAAUCAAUAAUAAUGAAAAUUCAUCAUUUAAUCGGUCAUUAAAUAUAAUAUCUUAAAAGAUAAGUGUUUCUCUGAAGCACAUAAAAUAUAAGGUUAAGUGUAUCUCUUUCCUUACACAAUGAACUCAUUAAUUCAACCUAAAUUUCUUUUCAACCAAUAAAAAAAAACUUUUCUUGCAAGUAAGAAUCACAAGUUUUUCUCAAGAUUAUAAUGAGACUUAGCUUUCAACAAAAUUUCAAUUUUCAAGAAUAUAAUUAGUUAUAAGAGUUGAGAGAAUACAAUUCGAAAUCAAGUUUUUUUUCUCUCUCAUUAGUGUCUAUGUGUGUAACUAAUAACAUUAAACACCUCAUAUACCUUAAAGCAUGCGUUUACAUUUAAGGAUAUGUCGCUUAAGCGAGUCAUUAUCAUUUAAGCAAUCCAUCCUUACUAAAUAGAUAAAAAAAGUCUAUCACUCAAUCUAUAAACACAUCACUUGAUUGAUACCUCAUUAUUUGAGCGAAUUCAUAUCACUUAAACUUCAAAGAAGAAAAAAUUAGUUUGACAUCUCCCUUGAAUGAGCAUCCAAAUCUCAAUGGAGAGAAAAUUAACAUUGACUCUCAUUUCCGUAAGCAUUAUACUAUCCCUCAAGUGAUGCAACUUCAAGCAUCAAGCCACCACUUCAAAAUUCUAUCUCAAAUCUCAUGCUCUUUAUUAUUUGAACAAUAAAUCUUUAAAAAAAACUUAUUUUAGAAUCUGCUCAAACUUCAAGUUAUGAUUUGAACGAAUAGUUGUAUAACUUAAACAUCCAAUUAAAUACUUAAAUAAUAAUAUUUUGUUAUAAAAAAAGUAUCACUACUUAUGUGUCAUCACAUUUUCCUUUUGAUAUUAUGAAAAUAUUCUCAUUAACAUAUGUUUUUCGAAAAACGAUAACUUUGCACUCAACCGAUAUUUAUAGAAAACUAGAUUUUUCAUAACAAAAAAUGUUUCUAAGUACCAAAAACUAAUUUUAUGCAUUAUAUUAACACCCCAAAAUUUACAUAUAACUAUUAAAUAAAAGUUUUACCAAUUUCUAUACAAACUUGGAGUUUUUCAAAACAUUCCUAAUACACGAUUAGGAUUUAUAAAAAUACAAAUAUUUACAUAUCCAUUGCUCAAAAUAAAAUUCUGAAACCUCUAAGGCUCUCCUGCACUUGAAUGGUCAUCUGCUCGUGUACAUAGUACAGUCAUUGCAGUUUAAACACAACACAAAAAGCAAGGGUAAGAUAGUGAAAAUAAAAUUUUAUAAUAUACACACUUAAAUCCAAAAAGAAAACCACAUUACAUGACCAAUUUCUCAAAUUAUUCAAUUUUCUUCAAAUCUCAAUAAUAAAACAAUCACAUAGAUCUCCAAUGGAUCUACACAUCCAAAAUAUUCAACAAACAACGUCUUCCGGAAGACCCGUAUCAAGUAAGUCCUACCAGAGACUAACACCUGAUCCAAAGAUUACCAACAAAUCCAACAGAAAGGAUCAGGGUAAGUUCAAUACAACCCAAGCCGUGCAUCUCAUAUGUCACGGUGUGCAUGAACUCCCCCAUCAACUUCUCACCACCUGAUAUCUUAGUCUAUGUGACUUAGAUCAUCAGGAAAGCUCGGAGAUCUCUGUUACCACAUAGGCAUCAAUACUUAAUACACAGCAAACAUCAGUCCAUACAUUAUUCCGACAUCAAUACUUAAUACACAACGAACAUCUGUCCAUACAUUAUCCCAAAUGUAUGAAUUCAAUUUCACACCAUUUCAUCAUACAAUAUCAUUCCAAACACGAUCCACAACAUUCAAAAGCUUAAUUAACAUAAAAAAAAACACCUUAAAUAUUAAACCAUCAAAAUCUAAUAUUUUUACAAAUUUAAAUGAUAUAUAAACAAACAAUAGCCCUGCAAGAGAAAUUGAAUAUUGGGACCACGUCCCUUCCGCAUUCAGAUCUUCUAUCCUAGGGUGCUAUUAAAAAUUAAAUUUAGCUUCCCUUACCUUAAUUGCUUGCUUUUCAAUCAACUUCUAGAAUUUUAUUUCCCACGGUUUGGAUAAACAUUAAGAUUGACGGGCCUAAUGCAAGUUAUCCAAACAGAACAAAAAUUCAGUAUAUAAUAGAAUAAGUUGAGAGGAUUAAACUUCUCAACUGACCCACCAAUAUUGAUGACUAAAUUCUAAGAAAAAACAUAGAACAAAGGAUAUUUAGAGUAAAAAUGAACUUACUCUGUUUGAAAAUUUGAUCGGGUAGAAAUGUAGUCUGACUCCCCAUCUACAAUAUGGCAUGAUCAGAUUUUAAAAUAGAUGAUGUAUGGGAGAGAAAAUGAAGAGAGAAAAGAGAGGAGAGAAGUUGAUAGAGAGAGAAAGCAUGAAAAAAAGAAAAGAGGAAAAUGCUGGGGCAGGGGUGCUGCUUUUUUUUAUUUAGGGGGGGUUUACAUUAUACACAGUUUCUAAUGAUUUUUACACUACUUAGUCAUAUAACAUAAUCAAAACAACCAUUUAUUCUCGAUUUGAUUAGCUAAACCCAAAGUUAUAUUUAAAAACAUUUAUAUACAAAUCUCUAACUAAUUCAAAUCAAUGUGUAGAGCUCUCAAUAGCACCAAAUCAUAUUUUUAUUGAUUUAUAAUUACCAACACUGUCAACAAUAAAAGACUUUAUUCAGCUAACUCCCUUUAACGACGACUUUACAACGAUUGACUUUCUAGUCGCAUUUGAUGUACACGUAGUCUUAUGUCAAACAGAUAAGAAGGUGAUUAUUUAGCCGCAUUCUUAAAUGCUAUUUAUAAGUGCAACUAUGGUAAAUAGUUGCAUUCUUAAAUGCAUAAUACAUCCCUUUUAUAAAUCAUUCUGAAGCAUAUAAGAAUGCGGUUAUUUACCAUAGUCGCCCUUAUAAAUCGCAUUUAAGAAUGCGGCUAAAUAGUCACCUUCUUAUCUGUUUGACAUAAGACUACGUGUACAUCAAAUGCGACUAGAAAGUCGUCGUUGUAAAGUGAAAAUAUCCGCCCUCUUUUUUUGACUUCUAUGAGAUAAUAGAAGAACCAAGAAAAAUUCAAUACAUCUCUGAGUUGUCUGACAACCUCCCUAGUCUGAGUCGUAAUAAGUUGUCAAUGUCAUAUGGUUCUUGGAUGACAAUAGUAAUCCUUGUUCAGGUGAUCCUUUGAUGUUUUUUAGGACUCAAAUUGCGGUAUCCCAAUGAGAUUUUCGUGGAACCGGUAUAUAUUGAGUUAAACACUAUGUUAGGCCGAGUAACCGUGAGGUAUAUUAGUUAUCAAUCGUCCCACAAGUUGCCUGUAUUUGACUCGAUCCUUUAAUAACUAUCCAUCGUUUGAGUGUGAGUUUUAGGUAUUGCUCCAUUAGAAAUUUGUCUAGACUAUCACCUGCGAGUCCCGUAUCCUGCAAAAUAUCAAGCGCAUAUUUUAUUUGUGACAUGUAAAUACUAGCUUUGGAACGAAAAAUAUUCAAUCCCUAGAAAAUAUUUUAAGUCUUCAAGAUCUUUAAUGCGAAAUCGUCGUAAUAGACUGUCUUUAAGACGCUGCAUUGUCAGAUCAUUCAUUUCCUGUCAAAAAAAUAUCGUCCACAUAAAUCGAGAGGACAUUAAAUGAUGAGUUAUUUUGUCUUGUGAAUAAAGAGUAGUCCACCUUGGACUAUUGAAAUACUGAAGAUUUAAUCACAUGAGAAAAUGUUGAAAACCAUCUCUGGACCAUGUCCGGAGGCUUGUCUGUCGAUGAUGCCUAGGUGACAAGUCCAUGUAAAUAAGUUCGUGUAAUUUGCCAUGUAAGAAGGCCUUUUGCACAUCCAGCUGGUGAAUAAACGAAUUUUUGGUUGUUGCAAUGGUGAGGAGACACCUAAAAGUUGUUAAUUUUGAUGUUGGUGAAAAAGUUUCGCAAUAGUCAACACCUUCAAUAUGAGUGUACCCUUUUGUAACAAGGCGCGGCUUAUAUCUUUCGACGAUGUCGUCUGAUGUGUACUUUCAUCUUAUAGGUUUCUGCCCGGCGGGUAACUAAAGAAAAUUGUGAAUUUUGAAAGAAAAUGAUGCAUAAGAUACCUAGUUCCAUUCGACUGAUAUUGGAUAGUGGUUGAAUGAUUGACUUGGGAUCCCGUUACGUAGUCUUGAAGUCAGGAAAGUGAGGUUAAUGUUUCCACUAAUCAUGAGAUUCUAUCAUUAUUAAAUUAAUUGCAUAUAAUUACGUAUAAUUGCGUAUAAUUUGAUAAUCCUUAUUUCUUUUAAUAAAUGAGAUUAUUUUAUUAUUUUAAUUGAUGUAUGUAUUUCCAUUUUGAAAAUUUUUAUUUCUUGCAGGAUUAUUCACUCUCACCCGUCAAAUAUAUUAUGGAUCGAAGUUUUAAUGAAAUCAACAUUUGGUGAUCCAUGGAGGUAUGGAGGUAUUGAAGAACAUGGAAUUUAAAAAACUUAAUUAAUGAUUUGCUUUUGAGAGAGAAAUCAUGACAUUUUGAAGUCUUUAAAUGUGAUUAUUUAGCCAAAGUUCAUAUAUAUAUAUUUGCAUAAAUUUAGUUAAUUCCCCUUACAUCUUUCAGGUUUAUAAAAAUACAUAUGUUUUUUAACGUUCUUUUGGUUUUCAGCAAUUUACCUGCGGUCAAGGUAUUGGAGGUGUGGAAUAAAUAUGUGUUGUUUCUAUAUGAUGUGUGCAGAAAUGCACAUAUUUAAAUGAGGUGAGGGUGGAAUAUUUACUCUCCUCAUGAGCACAAAGUAGGAGAAAUCUAUAAAUAAUAUUGCAUAAACUAAUGUCAAAGGAAAUUCUCCAUAUAUCAUCACAAAAGAAAUUGAGAAAAAAAUAUCCAACAUCCUCCCUUAAUUAUGAUUUGGAACAACCUUUCCAAUUUGAGUCAUGAUAUUGUUUUUCUCAAUCACCAUCAAUUUUUCAUUCAUAGCCUUUUGCCAUUUGGGGUGCUGAAUGGCAUAUCAAGUCUCACAGGUUCUGAUUCUGCAAGAAAAGCAAAGUGAACCAAAUCUCCAUUGUCAUCAACUUCAUCAUCAAGAUUUACUUCACAAUCUUGAAGAUGUACAGGUUGUCGAUGUUGCCUUCUUGGUCACUCCAUCAUAGUUGCAAUUGGAGUUGCAACUUCAGGUUGAAUUACAACUUCAGGUUGAACUGUAGGUGCUUCAAGAGUGACUUCAUCUUCCACAUCAUCGUUCAAAACGUAAAUAUAUCAUUUUUUUGAAUCCAUUUCAACUGCUGCAUUUCAUUGCCAUUCCUCAUCUUCGGCAAAUGUAACAUCACGACUAACAAUCACCUUCUUUGUUAUUGGAUUGUACAAUUUGUAUCCCCCAUGCUUAUAUCCAAUGAAAAUGGUUUUCCUUGCCUUAUCAUCCAACUUUGAUCUUGCUGCCUUGGGAACAUGAGCAUAAGUAAUUGACCAAAAUACCUUCAAGUGCUGCACAUUGUGUUUGAAUCCACUUCAUGCCUCAAUCGGAGUUGUGUUAGGAACACUCCGAGUGGGUGAUCUGUUUAUCAAAUAUACCGCACAUGUUACGGCCUCAGCCCAAAAAUAAUUUGGCAUACCUUUCGCUUUAAGCAUGCUCCUCGCCAUGUCCAUGAUUGUUUUAUUCUUUCUCUCAGCAACUUCGUUGUGUUGAGGUGUGUAGGGACAAGUUAUGUUAUGUUGCAACCCAAGUUCUUCACAAUGCCUCUUGAAUUCAUUAGACUUGUACUCACCUCCUCCAUCACUACGCACCAUCUUAAUUUGUCUGCCACUCUGUCUUUCAACAAAUGCUUUAAAUAUUUUAAAGCUGUGGAAUACCUCAUCCUUGCUUUUCAAUACAUAAAUCCAGGUUUUCUUUGAAAAAUCAUCGAUAAAGGUUAACAAAUACUUAUUACCUCCAACUGAUGAUAUGUUCAUUGGGCCACAAACAUCUGUAUGAACAAGCUCUAAAGGAAAUUUUGCACGCCAAGGCUCCUUAACAAAUGAUAUACUGUGAUUCUUUCCAAAAAUGCAAGCCUCACACAAUUGAUCAGGGUGAUGAAUAUGAGAUAAACCAUUUACUAAAUUUCAUUUGGAGAGAUUUUCCAAACUCUGGAAAUUUAAGUGCCCAAAGCGUAAAUGUCAUAACCACGAUUCAUUAUUCACUAUUGCAUUAAAGCACUUGAAAUCACCCAUAUGAAUAUCUACUAUAAACAUGCGGUUUUUUGAUAAAAAGGAAUUAAGAAUCAAACUAUCUUUUUUAUCAAAAAUUGAUAAUUUAUUUUCAACUAUGUGCAUCACAUAACACUUCUCAGCCAGCUGUCCCAUACUCAACAAAUUACUUUUCAUAUCAGAUACAUAGAAAACAUCAUAGAUGUACCUGUGAUCACCAUUCUUCAAUGUGAUAAGAAUUCGCCAUUCUCCAGUGACCGGAACGAACCUGCCAUCACCGAAUUUCACUUUUGUGCGAAAUGAGUCAUCCAAAUCUGCAAAUAGCUCCUUCUGACCACACAUAUGAUUCGUGCAACCUGUAUCCAAAUACCAAGUCUGGUUGUUUGGAGUUUCAUUUGAUGUGGUUGUCAUUAAUACUUCAUGAUCAUCUUCAUCUUGUUCGUGAUUACUAUCUUCUUGAGCACAAUUGGAAGCAUGAUUAUCACCUUUUNNNNNNNNNNNNNNNNNNNNNNNNNNNNNNNNNNNNNNNNNNNNNNNNNNNNNNNNNNNNNNNNNNNNNNNNNNNNNNNNNNNNNNNNNNNNNNNNNNNNNNNNNNNNNNNNNNNNNNNNNNNNNNNNNNNNNNNNNNNNNNNNNNNNNNNNNNNNNNNNNNNNNNNNNNNNNNNNNNNNNNNNNNNNNNNNNNNNNNNNNNNNNNNNNNNNNNNNNNNNNNNNNNNNNNNNNNNNNNNNNNNNNNNNNNNNNNNNNNNNNNNNNNNNNNNNNNNNNNNNNNNNNNNNNNNNNNNNNNNNNNNNNNNNNNNNNNNNNNNNNNNNNNNNNNNNNNNNNNNNNNNNNNNNNNNNNNNNNNNNNNNNNNNNNNNNNNNNNNNNNNNNNNNNNNNNNNNNNNNNNNNNNNNNNNNNNNNNNNNNNNNNNNNNNNNNNNNNNNNNNNNNNNNNNNNNNNNNNNNNNNNNNNNNNNNNNNNNNNNNNNNNNNNNNNNNNNNNNNNNNNNNNNNNNNNNNNNNNNNNNNNNNNNNNNNNNNNNNNNNNNNNNNNNNNNNNNNNNNNNNNNNNNNNNNNNNNNNNNNNNNNNNNNNNNNNNNNNNNNNNNNNNNNNNNNNNNNNNNNNNNNNNNNNNNNNNNNNNNNNNNNNNNNNNNNNNNNNNNNNNNNNNNNNNNNNNNNNNNNNNNNNNNNNNNNNNNNNNNNNNNNNNNNNNNNNNNNNNNNNNNNNNNNNNNNNNNNNNNNNNNNNNNNNNNNNNNNNNNNNNNNNNNNNNNNNNNNNNNNNNNNNNNNNNNNNNNNNNNNNNNNNNNNNNNNNNNNNNNNNNNNNNNNNNNNNNNNNNNNNNNNNNNNNNNNNNNNNNNNNNNNNNNNNNNNNNNNNNNNNNNNNNNNNNNNNNNNNNNNNNNNNNNNNNNNNNNNNNNNNNNNNNNNNNNNNNNNNNNNNNNNNNNNNNNNNNNNNNNNNNNNNNNNNNNNNNNNNNNNNNNNNNNNNNNNNNNNNNNNNNNNNNNNNNNNNNNNNNNNNNNNNNNNNNNNNNNNNNNNNNNNNNNNNNNNNNNNNNNNNNNNNNNNNNNNNNNNNNNNNNNNNNNNNNNNNNNNNNNNNNNNNNNNNNNNNNNNNNNNNNNNNNNNNNNNNNNNNNNNNNNNNNNNNNNNNNNNNNNNNNNNNNNNNNNNNNNNNNNNNNNNNNNNNNNNNNNNNNNNNNNNNNNNNNNNNNNNNNNNNNNNNNNNNNNNNNNNNNNNNNNNNNNNNNNNNNNNNNNNNNNNNNNNNNNNNNNNNNNNNNNNNNNNNNNNNNNNNNNNNNNNNNNNNNNNNNNNNNNNNNNNNNNNNNNNNNNNNNNNNNNNNNNNNNNNNNNNNNNNNNNNNNNNNNNNNNNNNNNNNNNNNNNNNNNNNNNNNNNNNNNNNNNNNNNNNNNNNNNNNNNNNNNNNNNNNNNNNNNNNNNNNNNNNNNNNNNNNNNNNNNNNNNNNNNNNNNNNNNNNNNNNNNNNNNNNNNNNNNNNNNNNNNNNNNNNNNNNNNNNNNNNNNNNNNNNNNNNNNNNNNNNNNNNNNNNNNNNNNNNNNNNNNNNNNNNNNNNNNNNNNNNNNNNNNNNNNNNNNNNNNNNNNNNNNNNNNNNNNNNNNNNNNNNNNNNNNNNNNNNNNNNNNNNNNNNNNNNNNNNNNNNNNNNNNNNNNNNNNNNNNNNNNNNNNNNNNNNNNNNNNNNNNNNNNNNNNNNNNNNNNNNNNNNNNNNNNNNNNNNNNNNNNNNNNNNNNNNNNNNNNNNNNNNNNNNNNNNNNNNNNNNNNNNNNNNNNNNNNNNNNNNNNNNNNNNNNNNNNNNNNNNNNNNNNNNNNNNNNNNNNNNNNNNNNNNNNNNNNNNNNNNNNNNNNNNNNNNNNNNNNNNNNNNNNNNNNNNNNNNNNNNNNNNNNNNNNNNNNNNNNNNNNNNNNNNNNNNNNNNNNNNNNNNNNNNNNNNNNNNNNNNNNNNNNNNNNNNNNNNNNNNNNNNNNNNNNNNNNNNNNNNNNNNNNNNNNNNNNNNNNNNNNNNNNNNNNNNNNNNNNNNNNNNNNNNNNNNNNNNNNNNNNNNNNNNNNNNNNNNNNNNNNNNNNNNNNNNNNNNNNNNNNNNNNNNNNNNNNNNNNNNAUAUAUAAGUUUUCGAAACUCUGUCAUCAAAGCUGCCUAAUCUGGAGGUCCUUCACCUAAGUGGGAAUUAUUUAACCAAUGACAUCUUGCCAUCCCUCGAGGGAUUCACAUCUUUGAAGGAACUGAGUUUGUGGGAAACUGGAUUGGACUCCGAUCUUCACAUGGAAGGUACGUAUAGAAUGUAACUUUUCCAUUUCAUUAAUAAAGAGGAGCAGUGGGAAUUUACUUGUUUAUUAAUGGAGGAUAUAUUCUUUGCAGUUUUAUGCUCAAAAUUGAAGAAUCUUGAGUCCCUUGACUUGUCAUAUAACAACUUCAACCACAUUGAUAUUGGCUCUGCUCUUAGUGGACUCUCAUCCCUCAAGUUCUUAUAUUUAAGAAACACUGGAUUGAGUUGGAGAUCAAUUUUAAGUAUGUGCCAUAUACAAAUCUUCAUCCUUUGUUUUUUAUUACAAAUUAUAUCGAACUGUCUAUAAUCGGAAAUAUUCUAUUGAUAGAUAUUUCAAAAUUAAGUUCUUUGGAGAUCCUUGACUUAAAAGGUAACGGGUUGAAUAAGUCUGAGAGUAUCUUCUUGCGUAUAAAAGGUUAGUUCUGAUUUAUAUUGGAUAAUAUUUUAUUUAUUCUCCUUCUUCUUCUUUGAUGCUUUCAAUUUUAUUUAAGAGUGAAAGAAGGAUUUAAAUGGUCAAUCAAUUUACAAAAGUUGUGACGGAGGAAUAUCUCUCAUCUCUAAGUGGUCUUUCACUUCUCAAAUCUCUUCAUUUAAACACUUAUCAACUAAAAGGAAUACUAGAUAUCAGCCGUUAGUAAUUCUAUAAAAUAUGUUUAAAAUAUUCAAAACAAUAUUUCUAGAUAUUAUAUUCUAAUAUUUUUAAAUUAUUAAACGAUUUGUUAGAAUCAAUAAUUUAAUCUGGAGUCUUAAAAAACUGUACAAUCAAUUACAAAAUCAUAAUUAAUUUCAUAUUAACAUAAUUAAUAUUAAAAAUCUCCACAAAUUUAUAUUCUAAAAUAUUGUAAAAAAAACAACUCGAUGUAUUACACUUAUUUUUUAACUGUCCUGUCAUUGUUUCUUUGCCAAGUAAUUCUUAGAAAAAUUGAAACUCUUUAAAGACUAUGAUUUUUAGUUUAAUUUUUACUAAUAAAUUACUUUCAAGUUAUUUAUAAAUUCCCACACUAAGAAUUUAGAUGUUUAAAAUCAACUGAAAAUUUCUUCCAUAAAACUAAGUGAGAUUCAGACCACUUAUUCUAUCUUUGAAAAAACAGCUUUUUUUCAGACCAAUAUUUUGUUUACUUUAUUCAAAUUUAUUUUACUAUUACUAAAAAAUGAAUCACGCUUUUAAAGUUUUAAAAACAUAAUACUAAUUUAAUUAAUUUUUAUUAAUUAGAAAUAUAAUUAUUAUCAAUAGAAUAUUGAAUUAUUAAAAUAUGGUGAUAAUUAACAUAUAAUUUAUAAUUAACAUAUGGUGAUAAUUUUAUAAAAUUAAGGACGCCAACUUUUACAAACGAAAGGAUCACGUUGUAUUUUUAAAAAUUUGAGGGACUUGAUUAAAUAUUUUGUAAGAGUUAUAUUGUUGCACUGAUAAAUUAAAAAACUUGAUUAAACUUUUUAUUAACAGAUAAUUAAAUUGAGUAAGUAAAUAAAUAAGUAAACAAAACUUUUAUAUUUUACAUUUGUCUCUUGUAGAUUUGUAUGGUAUCUUGGAUAGUCAAAGAUUUGGAUCUUUAUGUUUUCAUUAUAAAGUUAAGAGAAUAUUUUACAGAGUAUUACAAAUGACAAGAAUAAAAGUUUUAGUGAUAAAAAUAAAGAAUGUAAUUAACUAAUAAAUUUAAGACAAAGAAUUUUCAAAUGAUUUAACUAAAUAACCAUGAGUUUAAUUAAAAUAUAUUUAUAUUAUUAAACUUCUAACCUUAAUUGCGUAAAAAAUAUUGAAAAAGAUAAGUCUUAGAUCGUAGUUUCUUUUGUACUUUCCAAACAGAAAAAAUAAAUUGUUGAAAAAUACUUAACUCGAGUAAUGUACAGACUUAUGGAAAUUGCUUAUUAUUGGAGAUUGAGAAAUAAGAAAAUCCCGAAAAUGAUUCUCAAUAAAAAAAUUUAUCAUUUAGAAGCUUCAAACAACAAAACACAUAUAUGACCUCAAAAACCAUUUAAUUUUUAUGUUAUAAUUUAAUAUUUUAAAUUUUAAAAUACCAUUUUGGUCCUUCGUUUUUAAAUUUGAAUAAAUUUAAAAUAGUAGUAAUUUUAUAUUGGAAGAUAAGUUUUUAAACUAUUUUUUAAUUGAUUCAAGAUGUGAAAUUUUUUCUAUUAGAUCAAUUUACAUAAAAAAUUACAGAAUCCAAAUUAAAUUAAGACAAUGAAUAGUGGUAAUUAUAUAAAAUCACAUGAAAAUGCAUUCUCCAUAUUCUUAGUGAGUAGUGAUGAGUUCAGAUGCUUUGUUUAUCAGAGAAAGAUGAGUUUAAAUGGCCCACCAAUUUACAAGAGUUAUGGUUGAGUUUCAACAGCUUGAGCAACGAUUUUGUUUCAUCUCUGAGUAACCUUCCACGUCUCCAAUCCCUUGAUUUAAGUUGCAAUCGACUAGAAGGAGCAAUAAAUAUAAGUGGUCAGUAUUUUAUAUAUUUUUUUGCUUUAUUAUAAUAUUUUAGAAUUAAAAUUAAUUAUUCAUUUAGUUUGAAUAAUUGUACAAAUUUUAUCUUAUAUUUUAUAUUCUUAAAAUGUGAUGAAUAUAUGUUUUAUAUAUAGAAGUUAUGCAUACAGUUUUAUUUCUUAAACUAGUAUAGAUAAAAGAUAUUAAGGAUUUACGUUUAUUAGUACAUUUAAGAUAUAUCUAUUAAUUUAUUAGAUGAUGAAAAGAUAAUAAUAACUAAUUAUUUAUUAAAUUUUUUAAUUUUUAAAAAAUAAAAACAAGCAACUAUUUCUCUUAAAAUAAAUUUAAUAAAUAAUUGAUUAUUUAUUCCCUUUUCAUAUCAUAAUUAAUAAAUAUAUCUUAAAUGCACUAAAAAAACGUAAAUUCCCUGUAUCUUUUUAACUAUACUAAUUUAAGAAAUUAAACUGUAUGCAUAACUUCUAUAUACAAAACAUAUAUCCAUCACAUUUUGAAAUCAAAGAUUUCUAAAACAAGAAAAUGUAAUAUAUAUAUAUAUAUAUAUAUAUAUAUAUAUAAAUCAAAUAAACCAUUUUUAUGUAUAAAGUUUUCAUGUUCUGAACCUACCCUAAGAAUCCAACUCAACAUGAAAUAAGUGAAUUAAUUAAUUUUGUUUACCUCUAUUUCAGCCUCUAACGGAAGAUUUCACAACCAAACUAAGUUAGACCUAACAAAGUUUAACCUAAUCGCAUUAGAUCUUACAUACAAGACUAAAAUAUACCUAAUGCUAACAAUAUUAAAAAAGAAAUAUAGUUUUGAAAUUUGGGAUCUGAAAGAAAAAAUCUCACUCUAAAACAAAAUCUAAUUGGAUAACAUUAUUAUAAUCUCUAUUAUGUUCUAUAAGGGGGCUUUUAAUUAAAAACAUUUGAAUAAUUGGGUUAGAAAUUUAGAGGAAAGAUAAAAAGAAUGUGAGAAAAAAUUGUUCAAAGAAUAAAGUUAGUUGACAAAAUUAUAUAUUGAACAUAAUUAGAAUUGUAAUCUUUAUUUUUUUUAAACCAUAUCCAAAAAAGGAUCUUACAAUCAAUAUAUAAAAUAAUUACUCUUAUUUAUUAAGUUUAAUACAAUGCCAAUAUAAGAAAAUCUAUUUAAUCAAUCAAAUAAUAAAAUAUCAUUGAUAAUUUGAUUUUUAAGAUAAUUAAUAUUUCAAAAGUCCAUAAAUUACAACACAACCAUUUGUAUUAUAAAACAAAGUAUUGCACUCUUAUAUAUACUAUUACUUAAUAUAUAUUAUAAAACAUAUUUAUGGAUGACAAAAAUCAUUAAAAAUCCAAAAGAAUUUAUGAGUAAACUCAAAAUUAUGGAUAGAUUUUAAAAAUAUAGUCCACAGUUUAAAAUUUAAAAGAUAAAUAAUCCAAAUAUACUUCAAAUAAAGUUAAAAUACGAUCUGAAUAAAUAAGUAUUGUAAAUGUGUUUUUAGUAGUUAUUUCUUUGUUUGUUUAUUAAAUACUGGAAAUUAUUUCUGCAUAUCAUUUCUGUUUUUUUUUUAAAAUUUGGUGUAAGUGGAACUGUGAGAGUUUAAUUAACAUUAACAAAGUUAACUUUUAGAGGUUCAACAUAAUAGUUUUUGGAAGAAAAAAAAACUUUUGAUUAUUUAAAAGUAAACUAGUUUUCUAACGCUUCUACUAGUAAAAUAAUUGAAUGUUAAUUGAUUUUGAUUAAUUUUUAAUUUUUCUCUUGUAGGAUUAUCAACUUUGUCCAAUUUGACGAAUCUUUAUCUAGGCCAUAAUAAUAUCCAUUAUUUUGUGGCCGAUCAAGGUAUUUAAGAAAAUUAAAAUUAGAAAAGGGGAAGAAAAAAUAUAUUAGAUAAAUUCAGACACGUUGAUUCCAUUAUUUCGUUGAAGUUCCAUAAAAUAUAUUUACUCUAUCCCAUUUAGCAUAAUUAAAGUUUAUUUACAUUUUUUAGUUAAUUAAAGUUGCAUAUCUUUCAGACUCAGAAAGAGUAAGUAGAUUGGAAGUCCUUCAUUUAGAUGGAAAUAUGAUAGAUGGAAAAAAGUUAAGGGAGUCAUUGCGAGCUUUAUCAUCAUCCAUUAAGGAGCUUCAUAUGUCUUACAAUAAAUUUACAGGAACAGUUUUAGCUGAAGGUAAAUAAUAUAUAUUAUUUUUAUAAGGUAAAUUAAUUUUGUCGUUCUUACAUUAAGAUUCUUAUAAAUUUUUUUUCUAUUGCAGAUUUUCACGAUUUAAGUAAGCUAGAACUUUUGACAUUGAACGGAAAUAAUAACAUUGAGAGUGAAUUUUUCAAAAGUAUUGGGAAUUUGACUUCCUUGAGAGUACUGUCUCUUUCAUAUUGUCAGAUAAAUGACGCCCUUCCUGCUGCUACUGGUAAUUAUAUUAUUAUUAAUGUUAUUCAUAACAUGUAUGUUUUAUAUAAUUUUUUCUUAAUUUUGUUAAAAUCUUUAUAUCCUUCUUGUUAUAACACUUGCAAUAUGUUUUCUUUUUUCUUCAAAUUUUUCAUUCAGAUUGGUUUAAGCUGAAGAAGUUGGAAGAGUUAAAUCUAAUACAAAAUGGAUUUGAAGGAUUUCUUCCCAAAUCUUUCAUUAACAUGACAUCUCUUCAGAUGUUGGAUCUUUCUCAAAAUCACUUCAUGGGAAAGUUUGAUUCUAACAUUGCAACCCUUACAUCACUGGAACAUUUUGAUUUUACAGAAAACCAAUUUGAAGUGCCUGUUUCAUUUACACCAUUUGCCAAUCAUUCACACCUUAAGUUUGUCUAUGGUAAAGGCAACAAAGUCAAAUUGGACUCUCAACACAGUUUGCAAACUUGGAUUCCAAAAUUUCAGUUAGUGAGGCUUAGCUUGUCUUCAACCAUUGAGACUAGUUCUUUCCAGCUUCCCAAAUUUCUUCUUUAUCAAAAAUAUCUAACUAGUCUAGAUUUUAGUGGUUUGAAUUUGGAAGGAGGGUUUCCUCAUUGGUUGUUAGAAAACAACACAAAGUUGAUUGAAGUUGUUUUUAGAUAUUGUUCUUUGAAUGGUACUAUGCAAAUACCAUUGCAUCCCUCUCUUGAGUUACAGAGUAUUGAUGUGUCUAGCAAUACCAUAACUGGUGAAAUCCCAAGCGAGAACAUCAGUUUUAUUUAUCCAAAUUUGAGAUAUUUAGACAUGUCUAGAAACCACAUCCAAGGUUCAAUUUCUCGUGAGUUUGGCCGACUGAAUUUGUGUUUGUUGGAUCUUUCAGACAACCAAUUGUCAGGAAAAAUAUCAGAGGACAUAUUCGAAGCUUGGCACCAACUUGAUUUCUUGAAACUUUCAAAUAAUAAGUUGGAGGGACCCAUUUUUACAAUACCCACUAAUUUGAGGUCUUUAUUCUUGAAUGAUAACAACUUUAGUGGUAGACUUCCCAGGAACAUUUUUAACACAUCCAUCGUCUCAUUGGAUGUAAGCAAUAAUCAUUUGGUAGGAAAGGUUACAAGCCUUCUGAAUAAUUCAUCAGGAUUAUUGGAACUUCGUAUGUCCAAUAACCACUUUGAAGGAUUCAUUCCAUUAGAAUUAAUACAACUUGAAAAUCUAAAAUAUUUAGAUCUCUCCCAAAAUAAUUUUUCUGGUCUUGUACCAUCAUUUAUAAAUUCUUCUGUGAAAUUUAUCCAUUUAAGCAAUAAUCAUUUAGCAGGAUUGUCCAAAAAAAUGUUCACUGAAAACUCUCCUAUAGUGAUGUUGGACCUUAGUUACAACAAAAUAUCUGGUGGCAUUCAGGAUAUGAUUCAAGAUCUCAAUUAUUCAAAGUUGAAUUUUCUCCUUUUAAAAGGUAAUCACAUUACUGGGGAUAUACCUAAGCAAUUAUGUCAGUUGAUAAAGUUAACCAUGCUAGAUCUCUCAGACAAUAAACUUUUGGGAGAAAUUCCUCAUUGCUUGGGGACAAUGCCUUUUGAUAAUAACAACCUUGAUCCAUUCUUAAAAGCAUCCAAGGGAUAUUUUGUUGAAGAACAUAGUCUAAGACCAUCACAAUCAGAGCAUAAGAAAGAGAAAGCAAGUUUCACUUCGAAGAAAAGAAUUGAUACGUACACGGGAAGCAUCCUUGCUUAUAUGUCUGGAAUUGACUUAUCCAAUAAUAAAUUGAAGGGGAAUAUUCCUUAUGAGCUUGGAAACUUGACAAAAAUCCAAGCAUUGAACUUGUCUCAUAAUGAUUUGAUUGGACAAAUUCCAGAUUCCUUCUCGAAGUUGGUGCAAGCAGAGAGUUUAGAUCUUUCUUUUAAUAAGUUGAGUGGUGAAAUUCCUUCUAAACUCAAUAUUCUAACCUCACUUGAAGUAUUAAGUGUGGCACACAACAACUUAUCAGGCCCAAUACCUGAAUGGACAAAUCAAUUUGCCACAUUUGAUAAGAGUAGCUAUGAGGGUAACCCAUUUCUUUGUGGACCUCCAUUACCAAAGAGUUGUCAUCCAGCUCCUAUAGUUAUUCCAAAUGACUUGCAUUAUGACAAAGACAAUGAUAGGUUGGUAGAUAUGUAUGUCUUUUAUGUGAGCUUUAUUGUAUCAUACAUGUUAGCAUUGUUAACAACUGCAGCAACUCUAUACAUCAAUCCUUCCUGGAGACAAGCAUGGUUUGACUACAUGGAAUUUGUCAUUUUAAAUUGUUACUACUUUAUCGUUGACAAUUUUUAUAGGUUUUGUAAUACUAAAAAUAUGUAACAUGUAUAUUGCAUCUUAGGAUGUUUAUUUCAUUGUUUCCUUUUAAUAGUGAUUUAAUAAAAAAAAAAAAGUCAUGCAUGUGUGGCUUAAUAUAAUAAAAUGAAAUCUAUUUUGUAUUAAAUUGUUGUUAAGGAUUUUUUUAGUCUUUUAAAUUCUUCAUUAUACUGUGAGAGAAUGUAGAUAAGAUAUUUUUAUAUCACAUUAAUUAAUAAUAAGGCUUCAUAUGUUUUUAGUACUUAUAAAACAGGUUAACUUGGUUGAGGUGAAAAAAUUUGUGACCAAAUUUGUAGUCUUUAUUAAUUCAUGAUAUUUUAUUUUAGUAUUUAAAUCUUAUUUUUAGUAUCUAUGUCAUAGAAUCUGAACGAGACAAAGUUAUGAUUUAAUAAAAAUUAAAAGUGAUUAAUUUUUUAUUUAAUAGUAAGAACUUGCUAACAGAAAAUUAUGGAAACUAAAAGUUUUAGUGAAAUGUAGUAGAAAUUAAAACAAUUACUCUAUUUAAAAGAACACUUGAAUCCCUUAAUAAUAAUUUAAAAUCAUGAUUCACUUAAAAUUUUAUACGAUUUAUUUUUCACACGCAUUAUUUUACACACGCAUUAUUUUUUACCCACCACCCAUUUGUAUGUUACAGUAAAAAAAUUAUUAAAUAUAAUUAAUUUAAUAUAUUACAAAAAAAAUUAUGAAAUAUAAAUAAUUUUAGAGAAAAAAAAUUAAUUAAAUAAAUUAGAUACUAUUUUAGAUAUUAAAAAAUUAUUAGUAUUUAAAUUAAUUUUUUUAUUAAUAAAUAAUUUCUAAAUUAAUAUUUAAUUAAUUAUCAAAGUUUUAGUUAUCAACUUAAGAAUCUAAAUAAUUGGUUAAAAAAAAUAUGUAACUAGUUAGAUGCCAAUUUAACAACUAUUUAUAAAUAACAACAACUAAAUUAAAUACAAAAAAAAAAUUAGUCUCGACAAUGUUAGAAAAGAUGGCUUUAAACUGAAUUGUUUAAAGGGCUUUUCGCAAACUUUUCAAAGCUAGAAUGAACUUAUUUCAGAAACCAAUUGAUUCAACAAUUCAGUUAGCCAAAACAGCAAGCAAAACUGUAAUACUAGAAAAAACAAUCGGUUGUUUCUUCGAAACAAUCGGUUGUUUCUUCGAAACAAUCGGUUGUUUAUACCAGCAAACAACAAACAAACUGAAAUUAAAGAGUUAGGGAUAGAAAGAUUGUAUACAGUUGUUUAUACUGGUUCACUCCAAACUAGAGCUACAUCCAGUCUUCUCAGAAACCCUGAGGAUAUCCACUAAGCAACCACACCUUGAUCACUUACACCACAACCAAGAGAAUGACCUUGAACACCUCAAGAAACACACUCUCCUUGGCCAACACUAAGAUUGCUGAUCUUGAACACCUCAAGAACACACAACCAAUCUCAGCAAAACAAACAAACGAAUUGUUUAGCAGUUUACAAAGAUUACACUUGUUACAUAUCAAAAUCUGAAAUCAAUACAAGUAGAAUCCUAUUUAGCACCUUGAUCAAUCUCAAAACUCUUUAGCAAUCUCAGAACUCUUUGAAAAACUCUUAGAUCAAAACUUUGUUUCAAGAUUCUUUAUACAUCAAAAACAGUUUUUCAGAAUAUAUCUAAGAAUAUAGUUUGUUAUCAAAUCUUAACAAACUCUUAAUUGCAUUUAAAAUAGAUUGGUCAAAGCAUUUAAUGACUGGACCGUAUUCAGUUAAAGCAUUUAAAGCUCAGUCAAAGAAAAUAGCUUUUCUGUUAUGGUUUCAAAACAAACAAUCGAUUGUUUCCUCGAAUCAAUCGGCUGUUUUGUUACUUAACAAAAUUCACCAUUCAAAAACAGUUUUCAAACUUUCUCAAAACACUUAAGUGUAAACAAUCGGUUGUUUCAACUUAGUUUAAAAAACAUUUUGCUUUGUUAAAAUUGAGAUGCUAAUUGCUUUGAGAUUUAAUCUAAGGGUUGAUUACAACAUUAAACUACCCCAGAACAAGGCUUAGACCAGCACAGCAGCAUCAAGCAAAGCAGAGGCUUCAUCAUCCUUCAAAGGAUUUGGAUUCUUCAAAACAUUGAACACCACUUGGUUCAACAAUCUCCCCCUAUUUGAUGAAGACAAAUCCCUGAUUCUUGUGUUGUUCUUGCAAUAGAACUUUGAGCAAUGCAUUGAACUUCUGAUAUUUUGUUAGCAUACAGAUAAACAAUUAAAGCUUAAAACAUCUAAUAUCAGAACCAAAAACAUCACCCAAACUGUUUUUAACAAUAUGAAAAACAGAAACUUAAAACAAAUUGGAAACACAGCAUAUAUCUCCCCCUAUUUGUCUUCACAAAUAGACAAAGAUAAGAGAUAAAAUAAGACAUUGUUCCCAUUACAUCAGAAUAAUCCAGCAACAACAGAAGAAAAGAAAUUUUAAAACCAGAAAAGAGAACAGCCAAAAACAAUCGAUUGUUUUGAUGACCAAUCGGUUGUUUUUCUUUCAAUCUUCUUCAUCAGCAAACUGAAGAUCAAAGAUUUGAUUCUGGACAGCUUCAAUUUGUUCAUCCAGAGUCAUAAACCUUGCAUCCAUGUUGUCAAACCUUGUGUCAAUCCUCUGAAAGUUGCUAACACACAGAUCAUGAAGGCUUCUUUGAUUUUCUGCAAAGCUAUCUAGCCUCUCCAUCAUUUCUCUUUCAAAAGAUGACAUGGUUGACAUUCUUUCUCUUUGAUAUCCAUUAGCAGCACUAGGCCCUGCAUCUUGAAAAUCUCCAGCUGGAUCUUCAUGUUGAACAUCCAUGUCAGCAGGUUCAUCUUGUUCAAGAUGAGCAGCACCACUAGAUGAUGCACCAUGAUCACCAUCCUUACUUAUCCACUUUCCACCUACUUUUGUAAAGCCCAUCUUGUUGAGUGAUCCAUUGUUCAACUCUUGAGUUGACUUGACCAGCUCAGAAGUUUCAUCUUCAAGAUUAACUUCAAAAUAGAGUAGAAACUUAGAUAUUAAAACAGCAUAGGGAUAGUGGUAAUCGCCUAACCUCAUGGCUUUUUGCAUAUGUUCUUUGAUUAUGUGAAUCCAAUUGAUCUUCACUUUCUUGGGGAUGCAUAAGAUAUAAACCAUAUCUUCUUCAGUCAACACAGAGUGGUUACUCCCCCUUGGAGUUAGGAUCCAAGUUACAAUGAGAGCAAGCAACCUCUCAUCAAGCUUCAAGCCUCCAACCGAGCAAGUGCUAACUUGAGAUUGAUUGUUCUUCAAGCAACUUUUGUAGAACUGGAUUUUGUUGAAAUCUUCUACGACACCAAGGUUUCCUUUAUUGAUUCUUAAUCCAGAGAACUUAAGCCCAGCUACAGCAGCCCAAACCUCAUGGGUUAUCUCCAUCUCCACACCUUUCACAUGAGAGACUAAGUUGUUUUCCUCAAACUUCAAGUUGGUGUAGAAAACCCUCACCAAAUCUGGAUAUAUGUUCCCUUUGAGCUCCAUAAACUUUCUGAGUGAUUGGUCUUUGAGAAGCCUCCUCACAUUGUCAAGCUUUUGACUUUUUAGCCAGUUAAAGCACACAACCUUGGGGUUGUUUAUCUUCUUGACACUUGUUUCAUAUCUAUACUUCUCAAUGAGAUCGGUGUCACUAGAAAACCAGCUUUCAAGCCUUCCUUCAGACCUUACAACUCUGGUUUUGACUCUUUUAGCGGUGGGAGGGGUUGAUUUCAUGACAGCAGAGACGAAAACUCACUUCACGGAAAAUUUUCAAGAGAUGGUGCAAGAGAUAUUGCAAGAGAUGUUGCAAUUGGUUGUUCUUGAUGAAAGAAAUUUGCACCUGAUUUUAUAGUAGAAAGAGAAUCAAUUUGAAUUUAAUUUCAUUCAAUGGGUACCUGAUUUUCAGAGAGAGGACUUGACUCAGUUCUGCACUGAAAAUGUCAGAAAAAGCUGAAAAUCACAUGGUCUUCACAUGUGAUCUUUGACUAGUCAUUAAGGCUCUUGAAUUUUCAAGAUUUUGGAAUAUAUUCCUUUAUGACUGUUGUGACUUCUUUCUGAACGUGAUCAGCUUCCAACACAGAUCCUUUGACCAAGAUUCUCCCUUAGAAAAAUAUAUGCAACGGCUAGAAAUUUAAAAGGCAGUUAAAUCAAUUUCUUCACAGUGCUGUCAGACUCAAAACAAUCAGUUGUUUCGAAGAAACAAUCGGUUGUUUUUCUGCAGCAGUUAAAAACUUGAUUUUGUAAUUUUUAACCAUAAACAGAGAUAAAUUAAAGCAUAUGACAUUGAUUAAAAGACAAUUAAUCAUAAGAAAGAACUUUGANNNNNNNNNNNNNNNNNNNNNNNNNNNNNNNNNNNNNNNNNNNNNNNNNNNNNNNNNNNNNNNNNNNNNNNNNNNNNNNNNNNNNNNNNNNNNNNNNNNNGUUGUUUCUUCAAUGAGCCAAUUGCUUGUUGAUCAAGAAAUCUUCUUUUCACUGUUUUGACCUUUUGCAUAGCAAUGAUUCAGCUUCAAUGACUGCCUUUUUCUUCAACAGCUUGAUCAGAUGGCUCAAUUCUUCCUUUUCUCUUCAUUUUUUCUGCAUAAUCAAAUUCAAGUUGCAAGAUUUGGUCCCCUUACAAAUUUGGGUCCACUUGGCUUUUCUUUGUUGUUAGAAACAUCACAUCCCUUAGGAAUCCAUUUCAUAAAACCUUUAGGAACACAAUAUUUUCUAAUUUUGCAGAAUCUAACAGAGUGGCAUUUCUUCAUGCAGUAAAAGCAUGUAACAACCAGUUGUUUCAUCUUAACAAUUGGUUGUUUUUCUGAUUUUCUCAAAAAGCUUUUUGAAAACCUAUCUUGCUUGUUCUGUGGAUUGAAGCCUAAACCAACCUUUCCAAAAACACAGCUUUGAGAUACUAGGACAUUCUCAAAGUUUGACUUUCCUUUUGAAAGCUUGUCCACAGUUUCAACAAGAUAGUGAACCUUUUUCUCAAGAUUUUCACAAUUUGUGCAAUUGAGAGUAUCACACUUGCAAGAGGCAUUUUUGAAAUUAUUNNNNNNNNNNNNNNNNNNNNNNNNNNNNNNNNNNNNNNNNNNNNNNNNNNNNNNNNNNNNNNNNNNNNNNNNNNNNNNNNNNNNNNNNNNNNNNNNNNNNUUUUUGCUUUUCUCAGUUCCUCUUCAAGUGAUUUAACUUACUUUUCAAGCCCAUUGUUAAGAUCUUUGAAUCGGUUGUUUGAAAGAACCAAUCUAUUAGCUUCAUCAUGUGUUUCUUGAAAAGCUUCAAGCAAUUCACUAUAGUUUUGUUCAUUUAAGGAAGCACAUGAACUUACCUCACUUGAACUGCAGGAAUCAUCAUCAUCAUCCUCAGCAACUAAGCAUAUGUUGGCUUUUUCAUCUUCACUUGAUGAAGAACUUGAUGAUGACACUUCAUUUUCAUCCCAAGCUAUGUAAGCUCUUUUUGUCUUGCCUUUCUUCUCCUUGUAGCUUGUCUUUUUCUCUUUGCUCUUGUUGGGACAAUCAGCCUUUAUGUGACCUUGCUCACCACAACCAAAACAAGUAUAGUUAUUUGAAUUAAAUUCAUUGGGUUUCUUGUUUCCAUACCUAUCCUUGUUGUUGUCUUUGUUGCAGUUUCUCUUUAGGAAUUUGCUGAAUUUUCUUGACAGCAAACUAAGAUUUUCCUCAUCACUAUCAUCACUUGAAUCUUGCUUUUCCUUAUGUUUGGAUGCUUUCAAGGCUAUGCUCCUUGUGUGCUUAUCUUCACUUUCUUGAACAUUGAGUCUAUUCAUCUCUAGCUCAUGUUCCCUAAGCUUNNNNNNNNNNNNNNNNNNNNNNNNNNNNNNNNNNNNNNNNNNNNNNNNNNNNNNNNNNNNNNNNNNNNNNNNNNNNNNNNNNNNNNNNNNNNNNNNNNNNAGAAUAGCAGUUACCUUUGGUUGCCAUGCUCUAUCAAGACAUUUCAAGAUCUUGAUGUUCAGCUCUUCUUUAUCAAACGUCUUGUCUAGGCUCAUAAGGUGAUUGAUGAUGUGUGUAAACCUUUUCUGCACUUCAGCUAUGGUUUCACCUUUAAGCAUUCUAAACAUCUCAUACUCUUGGAUGAGAGCAUGCUUUCUAGCACUUUUCACCUCAUUUGUUCCUACAUGAGUGACUUCCAAAGUAUCCCACAUCUCUUUUGAUGAUUUGCAUUGUGAGACCCUGAAAAACUCAUCAGAAUUUAAAAGCAGAGGUUAUAAUAUUUUUGGCAAUGCAAUCGAAUUUGGCCUUUUACUUUCUGCAUCAGUCCAUUGAGACCAUGGCUUCUCAAUGACAGAACCAUCUUUUUCAAACUUUGGGAUAAAAGGGUCAUUUUCAAUUGCAUCCCAAAUUCCUUUGUCAAGAGAUUCCAUAAAUAUUUUCAUUCUAACUUUCCAAAACUGGUAAUUCAAAUCACAAAACAAGGGUGGUCUGUUUAUUGAGGCACCUUCCCCAAACGGUAGUCUAUCAGCCAUUUUGAAAGAUUUUAGGAUCAACUUGAAUGACUUACAAGAACCAAGCUCUUGAUGCCAAUUGUUAGAAAAGAUGGCUUUAAACUAGAGGGGGAGUGAAUUGUUUAAAGGGGGUUUCGCAAACUUUUCAAAGCCAGAAUGAACUUAUUUCAGAAACCAAUUGAUUCAGCAAUUCAGUUAGCCAAAACAGCAAGCAAAACUGUAAUACUAGAAAAAAACAAUCGGUUGUUUCUUCGAAACAAUCGGUUGUUUAUACCAGCAAACAACAAACAAACUAAAAUUAAAGAGUUAGGGAUAAAAAGAUUGUACACAGUUGUUUAUACUAGUUCACUCCAAACUAGAGCUACAUCCAGUCUUCUCAGAAACCCUAAGGAUAUCCACUAAGCAACCACACCUUGAUCACUUACACCACAACCAAGAGAAUGACCUUGAACACCUCAAGAAACACACUCUCCUUGGCCAACACUAAGAUUGCUGAUCUUGAACACCUCAAGAACACACAACCAAUCUCAGCAAAACACACACACAAAUUGUUCAGUAGUUUACAAAGAUUACACUUGUUACAGAUGAAAAUAUGAAAUCAAUACAAGUAGAAUCCUAUUCAGCACCUUGAUCAAUCUAAAAACUCUUUAGCAAUCUCAGAACUCUUUGAAAAACUCUUAGAUCAAAACUUUGUUUCAAGAUUCUUUAUACAUCAAAAACAGUUUUUCAGAAUAUAUCUAAGAAUAUAGUUUGUUAUCAAAUCUUAACAAACUCUUAAUUGCAUUUAAAAUAGAUUGGUCAAAGCAUUUAAUGACUGGACCGUAUUUAGUUAAAGCAUUUAAAGCUCAGUCAAAGAAAACAACUUUUCUGUUAUGGUUUCAAAACAAACAAUCGAUUGUUUCCUCGAAUCAAUCGGUUGUUUUGUUACUUAAGAAAAUUCACCAUUCAAAAACAGUUUUCAAACUUUCUCAAAACACCUAAGUGUAAACAAUCGGUUGUUUCAACUUAGUUUAAAAAACAUUUUGCUUUGUUAAAAUUGAGAUGCUAAUUGCUUUGAGAUUUAAUCUAAGGGUUGAUUACAACAUUAAAUUACCCCAGAACAAGGCUUAGACCAGCACAGCAGCAUCAAGCAAAGCAGAGGAUUCAUCAUCCUUCAAAGGAUUUGGAUUCUUCAAAACAUUGAACACCACUUGGUUCAACAAACAAUAGUAUCUAAUUUAGUUAAUAUAAUUAAUUUUUUUUGUCUCUAAACCUAGUUUGUAUUUAAUGAUUAAUGUUACUUUAUGAUUUCACAGAAGUAUAUUACUACUCUAUGAACAUAAACUAUAUAUUUUUCUCAUAACUGGGGAUGCUAAGGAAUUCAGUUGUUGUUAUACAAGCCAAGGGCUCAGGGUUACAUUCAGUUACGACUCCUAUUGAUAAUCAUCAUGUGGGGGUCUCUGCUCCUGUGGCUUUACCAUCUUUGUUGCGUCCUACCUAUCCUCGAAAGGCUAAAUCACCUGCAGAUUCUAAAGCACCAAUUAAUAGUCCAAUUGAUGGUCAUCAUGUGGAGGUCUCUCCUAUUGUGACUGUACCAUCUCUGUCGCCUCAUACCACCCCUUGGAAGGCUAAAUCUCUUGGGGAUGUUAAAGCACCAUCGUUGGUCCUGCAAAAUCAAUUUUCCUCUUUUGGUGGUUUGGAAACUACAAAUGUUAUUUCAAAAUUUUGGGUUGAUCCAAAUGAGAUGGAGGAGGAUGUUAGUGAUACUGGGGAGGAAAUAGUUUGCAUUAAGAGAAAAAACAGGGAGACCACCUAGGCGACUGGUAAAUAAAUAAAAAAACUGCUUAGGCAGUUCUAUCUACAACGUCGCAAUGAAGGUCUCUUAAUUUUUCUGGAAUGUUAGAGGACUAGGAAACCACAAAAAUGUGGACAUGUUGAUUAGUUUACUUAAACUACAUAAACCCCUCCUUGUUUUUCUUGUUGAACCUAUGAUGUUGUAUACUGAUUCUUUCGGCGUCCUUUUCAAAUCUGUUAAUAUGCAUUUGGUGGCUACGUCUCCUCUUGUUAAUAAAGUGUCUAAACCUUGGUGUUUGUUGGUUCCUAAUCUUGUCCAAAAUUUCUUAGUCAAUGAUCAAUUUAUUUUUGUAACUUGUCUUCUACAUGAUAAAUGUAGGGAUGACAAAGCGGGAUGGCUCGUGCGGGCCGACCCACAGCCCGCUGGUAAAAAACGUGAGGCAGACUGACUUUUUCAACCCGCUAACCCACAUUAGCCCGCAACCCGCGCGGGCCAGCAGCGGGGCGGGGCGGGAUGACCCGCUAACCCGCAAGAAAAAAAAAUUGGCACUUAGCAGCAACAAGGGAACGUAAUUAUGUUUUCACAAAAUUUCAAAGAAAGAAGCACAACACAAUCACGUCAAUAAUGUUUAUGUGUAAUGUUUUUGAAUUAAUGUUUAUGUUUAUGUUUAAUGUUUUGGAAGUGGAAUAAUAGUGAUAUUUGAUAUUUAUCUUAAUGUUUAAUGUUUUGAUGUUUGACUAUGUUUGAAAAGGAAGAAAAAUAAUUUAGGUUUGAUAGUAACAAAUAUAUAGGUUUAAUUUGAUAAUUUUUUAAGAACAAAAUGUAAAAAAAAAAAAUAUUUAAUUUAAAAAAAAAAGAAAAAAGAACGCGGGCUGGCCCACAAACCCGCGGGCCAGCUCUUAUGCAGGGCUGGUUGAGAAUUCUAGCCCGUAAUAACUUUGUGGGGUGGGCCAACCCAACCCGCAUUUUUGUGGGCCAAGCGCGGGGCGGGCUGGCCCGCUUUGCCAACCCUAGAUAAAUGUUUUAGCUUUGCAGGUGUUUAUGUUGCUACCUCAUACUUGGCUAGAUGGUUUUUGUGGAUGGAUUUUAGUUUCUUCACAAGGUCGUGGUGUAUUCUGGGAGAUUUUAAUAUUGUGCUCUCGACGGAUGACUGUAAAGGGGUGGCUCUUAAUCAGGUUUCCUGUAAUGAAUUUCUUAAUGGGAUUAAUAUUAAUGAUCUUUCUUGUAUGCUUUUUUACUGGAUCUUGUUAUACUUGGUGUAAUGGAAGGAGAGGGUUGCAUAGAAUUCAUAGAAGAUUGAAUUGGGCUUUAUGUAAUUAAGUGUGUCUAGAUGAAUGGGACUCUUGUAGUUAUCAAGUUCUCGUUAAAAAUUGUUUUGAUCAUCCUCCUAUUCUUGCAAUAAUUCGUUGAGGAAUAUUAGCAAUUUUCGUUUCUUUUCUAUGUGACUUCAGAACACUUCAUGUCUGAAGCUUAUUCAUGAUUCUUGGGCUAAUAAGGUUGUUGGUUGACCUAUGUUUAUUUUGCAACAUAAGUUAAAAAGGUUGAAAAUUGACCUCCGAGAUUGGAAUAAAAAUUCUUUUGGUAAUGUUCACAAUGCAGUUCUUCUUAAGCAGGGUCUCCUCCUUGGUAUUCAACAAAACUUAGAGACUGUUAGUUUGUCUAAUAUUGUUGGGCUUCUCUGUCAAGAAAAGAUUGUUAAGGAGGAGCUUAACCAUGCUCUUCACUGUCAAUAUUUGUUUAGGAAAGAAAGGGCUAAGAUGUUAUGAUUCGAAGAUGGAGAUCGAAAUACUGCUUUUUUCCAUGUUGUGGUCAAAAGGACAAAUAAUUUUAGUGGGAUUCAUCGUCUAUGGAUUGAUAAUGAGGUUACUCGAGAUCCUAAACUCAUUGAGGAUCAUAUUUUGGACUUUUAUAAAAGUCUUUAUGUUGAGUCUAUUUCUAAUGUUCUGGAUACAAGUAAUAUGCUUGGAACUUUGCUUAUAGCAACAAGCCUUGGUCUUUGCUCUUGAAAGCUAGGGUUCUUAAAUCAAAAUACGGGUUUAGAAUGGUGUAUAGAUCCUCAUCUCUUUGGCCUAAAAUUAAGCAGUUUUAUUCUACUAUAUUUGAUUAUACUUCUUGGACUGUUGGUACAUGUUCUUUUAUUAAUUUCUGGAAUGAUAAAUGAUGUUAAACUACUUCUUUAGCAAAUAUUGCAGGGUUAUCUGAUGGUACUAGCAUUCCGGAUACAGUGUCUCAGUUUUGGACAAGUUGUCAUUAGAAUAUUUCAUAUCUUUACAGCAGAUGCCUCAUUUUUUUAAUCAUAUCAUGGUUAGGGAGGAACAAGAUAUUCCUAAUUGGAUUCUAGAUGACUCUGGUCGUUUAACUCUUAAAUCGGUUAUGACUUUUAUCUUGGAACCAGGAGUUCCAUGUGGUUAGGGUAAAUUCAUUUGGUCUUCAUCUAUUUCGGCUUCCAAAACUAUAAUACUCUUGAAAGUUUUUCAUGGGCGGCUUCCUACAGAUCAACAUAUUCAAAAUAAAGGUUUGCAUAUAUGUUCUAUGUUUACGCUUUGUGAAGAGCAUGAGGAAUCUAUCCAACAUUUAUUUUUUAAUGUUCUAAUGCUUUGAAUAUUUGGAGUUGGGUUCGACAGAUUUUUCCUACUUCUUAUUUCUCUAAUAAAGAUGAUCUUCUUUCUUUUAAUCAAAGCGAAUGUAGUCCUUUGGUUAAAUUGACUAAGCUUGUUGUGAAAACUUUUUCUAUUUGGAUGAUAAGGCAUAUAAAGAAUUAUGCUAGACUUUAGGAUAAGAUUGAGUUAUUUCGAUUAUUAAAGAUUUAACUUGUCUAGUGGGAAAUUCGUCUAAAGCUUCAAUGAAGAAUGAUAUGUUGGAUUUCAAAGUGAUUAAGUUUUUUGGUAUUAAUACUCGUAGUGAUAAAGUUCUUUGUCAUCUUCCUGUUAGAUGGGAUUUUCUUUCACCAGGCUGAGUUAAAAUUAACAUUGAUGGAAUGUGGAGGUAUUUUCCAUGGGAGUAUAGGGGAGUUUAUUUGUGCUUUCUCUGCAUUUUUUGAAGUUCAGACUUUUGUGGAUGCUAAGUUUUAUGGAGUUAUACAUGUUAUGGAGGAAGCUUAAAAGAUAGGGCUUACUAAUGUGUCUGGCUUGAAUGUGAUUAUGCGUUGGUUUAUGUUGUGUUUACUGCUAGGACUAAUGUUCCGUGAAUGCUUCGUAAUCAAUGAAAUACUUGUCUUAAUUACUGUGAAGAAUAAAAAAUACAGUGUAACUGGUGCCGAACACGAUCUAAAUAUGACUCUACUUAGCUAACAUAAUCCAUGUCCGUAAGGUAAACAAAAUACAUGAGAAGACCUAUAGAAAAAAAAAACAGAAUAUAUAAAAAAAGAAAACAUAACCCUGCAGGAUCUUCGUAAACAAAACUUCAAUAACAGACUGACAGGUACACUACAUCUAUCUAUUAUGAUAGGUUUUAUUGUUUAUUUUCACUAGAGAUAAUUUUUAAGAAAAAUCAUACUGUGAAAACAUAAGUUAAGCUUAAAUUAAUUUAUCAUUUUGGUUUCUAAAUUUCUUUUAUUUUAGACUUUAUAAAAGAAAUUUUACUGUUUUAAUUUGAUCUCUAUGGUUAGAGUAUCUCAUUACAUAAGACAUAAUACUAACUCAUUAAAACACACAUGACAUAAUAUAUUAUGGUAACUUAAUAUUUAAUAUGACACCUAUAAAAAGGAUUUUGAAUGUAAAAUUAGUAACAAAUGUGUCUCAUCAAGUUACGUUCUUUGAUUUUCUCUUUUUUUUAGUAUAUAUUAAAAAGUUGUUAAAAUAAUAAUCAAAAUUUAUAGUAAUAAUAUAAUAAUAAAGAAAAAUAUUUUAUUAUUUUAAUUGGUGUAUAUAUUUCAUUUUUAAAAAAAUAUUUUUAACUGUGACUUUGUUUUACAUAAAAGAAUUUAUUAUUUACAUAAAUACAUUCAAUAUCUCAUUGUCAGAAUCAUCAAUCUUUAUAUAAACAAAUCAUUUUUAUUUUUUUAAUAAAAAAAGGUGAAUAAAAAAUUAUGUAUUAUUCCAACACUUCAUAGAUUCUAAAAAAAGUGUUUUAAAAAAUAAUUUAUUAUUAAAAUAAAAAUUAACAUUAAAUUAUAAUUUUUUAAAAUAAUAUAUAAUGCACAUUUUUCAUUUUGAAUAUAUAUUUCAUAUUUAUAGUUAUCCUUAAUUAUAUUUUCAAGCCUAAAAUAAAACCAUCUUAGACAUAAAACAUCAUAUAUUUUGGAAUCUCUUUUCAAAAAUAGAAAUUAAAAGCCAAAGUUAGCUUAAGAUGCAUGGUUUGAAAGCCUAUGAUGUUUAUAUUAAAAUGGUGGCUAAUUUUCUUCUUCCUUUUAUAUAAAAAGCUUUCAUGAUAGGUAUCACUAUGCUACUUGACAUCUCAAUUAUACUGAUACCUCAAGUAACAAUAAUCAUUUGUCAUCACAUGAAAAACAUAUUAUUAAAAAAAAAUAAUAAAAAAAAUACAAAAAUAUGGGGGAACUAGACGAAAACUCAUAUGUUAACAAAAACGAUACAUAGGUAGGGGUGGCAAAGCGGACCGACCCGCCCCGAACAGGCCCGCCCCACUUAGGCCCGCAAAAAUGCAGACCGGGUUGGCCCGCCCCGCAUACAAAAUACAGACUGGUUUUCAUGACCCGCCCCGCAUGCAGGUUGGGUCGUGGGCUUGCGAGUCGGCCUGCUAUUUUUUUAACGUAGAGGAGGAGUGGAGGCAGUAGCGGUGUGCAGCAGUGGAGCAGCAGUAGCGCGCAACAAUUGCAGGCGAAGCCACGCGGCGUCGCAAGCGGCGGCGCUGCAAAGGAGAGUGUGUCAUGUGUUGGGUGCGUUUUUGGAACAACGCAACUACGUUGUGAUUUGAGUGAAAACCUAAUUUUCUUUCACUCAAAGUUGUCACUCCUCCACUUGACCAUUGUUGUCAAGUCAAUUAAUUUUUAAUUUUUUUUUGCAGGCUAGCGGGCCAGCCCGCCCCGCCCCGAUGCUGGCCCGCGCGAGCUGCAAGUUAUGCGGGGCGGGUUAAUGCGGGUCAGCGGGUUGAAAAUGUUAGCCUGCCUUGCGUUUUUUACCACGGGCCACGGACCGGCCCGCCGCACUUUGCCACCCCUAUACAUCGGUACACUAUAGCUAUUAAUAAAGAAUUUUAAGAACAUACUAGAUAGAAGCCUAUUAUACCAAUGAAAGGAUUCUCUGUGAAUAAAUUCUAAAUUAGCCAACUUAUCAGCACACACAUUCCUUUCACGAAAAAUAUGAGUAACCCUAAGCCUGAUUUUUCCACAGUAAUUAAGACAAGUAUUCCAUCGAUUAUGAAGCAUCAAAGGAACAUUUGUCCUAGCAGUAAAUGCAUCACAAACCAAGGCAGAGUCACAUUCCAGCCAGACAUUAGUAAGUCCCAACUUUUGAGCUUCCUCCAAAGCAUAUAUAACUCCAUAAAAUUCAGCAACCAAAGCAGUCUGAACGUCAAGAAACAUAGAGAAAGCUCCAAUAAACUCCCCCAUACUCCCACGAAAAAUACUUCCACAAGUGGCAAGACCUGGAUAACCCCUAGCAGCCCCAUCAAUGUUAAUUUUAACCCAACCUGGUGAAGGAAACUCUCAUCUAACAGGAAAAGGACGAAGAACUUUACCAUUACGAGUAUUAAUACCAAAAAACUUAAUCACACUGAAAUCCAUCAUACCAUUCUUCAUUGAAGCUUUAAACUACUUUCCCACUAGAAAAAAUAAAUCUUUAAUAACUGAAAUAAUCCUAGAAACCUCAAUCUUAUCCUGAAAACGAGCAUAAUUCCUCAUAUGCCAUAACAUCCAAACAGAAAACGUUAUCACAACAAGCUUAAUCAAUUUAACCAAAGGACUACCAUCACUCUUAAUAAAAUAAAGAAGAUCAUCCUUAUUAGAGAAAUGAGAAGUAGGAAAAAUAUGUCAAACCCAACUCCAAAUAAACAAAGCAUUAGGGCAUUCAAAAAAUAAAUGAUGAAUAAAUUCCUCAUGCUUUUCACAAAGCGUACACAUAGAACAAAUAUGGAGACCUUUACUUUGAAUAUGAUGAUCUGUAGGAAGCCGCCCAUGAAAAACUUUCCAAAAGACAAGAGUUUUGGAAGGUGGGAUAUCUGAAGACCAAAUAAAUUUACCCCAACCACAGGGAACUCCUGGUUCCAAGAAAAAAGUCCUAGCCGAUUUAAGAGUAAACCGACCAGACUCAUCUAGAAUCCAAUUAGGAACAUCCUGAUCCGCCCUAACCAUUAUAUGACUAAAAAGAUGAGGCAUCUGCUGUAAAGGCAACGGAAUAUUCCAAUCAUGACCUAUCCAAAACCGAGAAACUGUAUCUGGAAAGCAAAUACCAUCAGAUAACCCUACACUAUGUGCUAAAGGAGUAGUAGAACAUCAUUUAUCAUUCCAAAAACUAAUAAAAGAACUUGUACCAACAGUCCAAGAAAUAUAAUCAAGUAUAGUAUAAUAAAACUGCUUAAUUUUAGGUCAAAGAGAUGAAAAUAUGUAAACCAUUUUAAACUUGUAUUUUGACUUAAGAACCCUUGUUUUUCAAGAACCAUCGGGAAAUAAUUGUCAUUAUAGGGGUUAGUAAAAACUUUCGUUAAUUUGUUAGCGACGCUGGAUAUACCAGGGGAAAAACAAACUGCGGGUAACACACUUAGUAGGGGUUAAAAGUACCAAAAAGUUAAAUAUAAGUUUUGUUAAAAAUAAUUUUUCUUGCAGUGUUAGCAACUCAUCCAACUAUUUAUUAAAAUCCUCAAGUACAACGGUAGAUGGUCUUGUUUCAUCGAUUGAACCUCUCAAUCCCGAUUAAAAAAAAUAAAAAUCUGGAUCAAGAGCUGCUGAUAAUAAAGUCUAAAGAAAUCUAAUCCUAACAAAAAGUGCCUCCUAACAAAAAGGGCCUCCACAGCAAGUCUCUUGGUAGUAAUACUUUCACAAUUGGACCAAAUAUAGUCUCCAAAAGAUCAAUUGAGCAUACUUUCUUGUCCUUUUCAAGUAUGUUAUUAACUUAACAUUGUUAUGAUCCUAAAAUAAAAACAAUGCAAACAAAACCAAAGUAAACCCUAAACAAAACCAAACUAUCAUUCAGGCUUAGUUACAAAUGGAGAAAAUGUUUAUAUAUGAAUUUUAUGAAACAACCAUGUUCAUGGAAAUUUGGCGUUUUAGCUUUACCAGGUGUAAGGAAGUGGUGAACCUGAGGCUGCAGAAUAAAUUAAAAAACCUUAAUUAACCUUAUUGAUAAUAAAGAUUAAGAAUCAAAUGGAGGAUGAAUUGUACUUCAAGGAGAUAAUUUUUUUCAGCUUAGAAUUUCAUAUUUUGAGUUUUGAUUACUAUAAAAACGAUAUUCUCUAAUUUUAAUGAAUGAAAUAAAUUUAAUUUUUUUUAGUGAGAUAACAUCCAGACUCUACUUUUACACUACCUUGACUACAAAAGAAAUUACUUUCACCAAGGGAAACUCUAUCUAAAAGAAAUUUCAAAGUCUUGAUUGGUGGAUGAGAGAAGCAAUUGUCCAAACCACAAUUGUUUUAACCUUUGUAACAAUUUUCCGAAAGAAUGUGUCUAUUAGAUUAUAUAUAACAGAAAAAUUAUGCUAGUAUUAAUUAAAUGGCCCAGCAUAGGAUUUAGAGGACAAUAUUCCUAAUCCCCUAAACUGCCAAGUCAUAGUUUCCAAAAAAAAUAAUAUAAAUAAAAUGUAGUUGGAUUUGACCAAUCAUAACCCCUUAGUCUAAGCAACAUCAUCUUGCUAUUUCAUGAUCAUAAAUCCACAACUGGAAGGAUUUUUUCCAGUUUCCAAGCUAAAAAAUGGUACGAAGUUUGUCACAUCAGUGAAAAAAAAAAUAUAAAAACAAAGCAACUUUGACAAUUUGAGAGAAAAGCUUCAAUGAAGUGUCUUCUAACUUUUAAUAAAGCAGCCUCUCAUACCUAAGUUCAAAGCAUAUUUAAUUACGUAUUGCAGUUAAAGAUGUACACAUAAUUAAAUCACUGGUAAUAUGAAUCUCAAGCAAUCGAUACGUAAUUAUAAAAUUAAAUAAGCUAGUGACAUGUAUAGAUCCCAACAAAGAACAAAAUCUCUAAAAAAAAAAACAUAGGCAAGAAAGAAUAUUGAAUGCAAUAACUUACAUCAACAUCAGACAAGUGCCCUACCAUUAUCCAUGGACGAAAUCUUAGCAGUUCUUUCAUGUGAAGAGCUGGCAAAACAAUGCCAUAAGAAACUAAAAUGCAUCCAUAAAAAGAAAUAAAAAACACAACCUUCCAUAAUAUACAUGCGACUUUUUUUCUCAUAUAACAUUAUUUUCACUUUUAUUUUCCUAAAUAACAUCUUUUUAUUUUAAUUUUCUUGUGUAACAUUGUUUUUUCUCAUGGUUUCAUUUUGUAUUUUCGAAAAAAAAAAAUCUCUUAGAAUUUGGUUUCUGGAAUGGUGUUUUUAGAAUUUUUUAUUUCUUUGUCUAGAGUGAAUGGAAAAGAAAAAAAAUAUAAAAUAAAAUAAAAAUAAGUUUAAAAACUAAUAAAAGAAAAUAAAAAGAAAAAUAAUUAAUAAAUUAAAAAGAAUUAAUAAUUUUAAUUUUGGAUGAUUAAAAAUAAAUAUAUUGGUUUUAAAAAAAAUAUUUUUAAUAUUUAAAAUAGUUAGAAAUAUAAUUAUUGAAGAAAGAAAUGAGUUUUUGCAAAGAAGAAUGAUGUCCCAAGACAUGAAAAAAGAAGAAUAAAAUAUAUUUUCUCUAAAAAGCAUAAUUAUGCAAGUUGCAACAAAUAACUUACUGUACAAAGCACAACAUUGACUAUUCAACAAAAUCCCAUAGAUGCAUGCCCGUCAUAAAUACAAAACUCUCUUAUCGUAACAAACAAAAAUGUAAUGACAUUUUACCAGUAAUAACUAUUAAGUAAAUUACAGAGGAAAAAAAGGAAGAACUAGUUUGUGUCAUUUACACGUUAUACCACAUUAAACAUGCAAGAAAAUAAAUCGGGUGAGAUUAUAAAGGCUUUCCCUCACAAAUAUUAAGCUAAAAAGAGAGGGGACAAUUUGCGUCAAUUAGACUAUCUCUUUGAACUCUUCAUUCCUGUCUUAUUAUAUUUGUUUUACAAAAUAAAGUGGAUCCCAUUAACAAGACAUUUGGAGCAUAUACAGAGGUGAAUGUAGUCUAACUUGCAUAUACAAGCAUAUGCUAUAUUGUUUAAGCAAUUCAAGAAGUAGACAUCAUAUUUUAAUUUUUAACUUUAAUUUUGUAUUCCUUCAACUGGUAUCUUGUUUUACAUUCACUAUCAGAAUGUAAAAUUUCACAUUAAAUUGUUUUACCUGAACUUCCCAGAAAGGGUAACUGUGACCAUAUAACAAACAAGAUUGGCAUUAAUUUUGGUACUUCAUAAUCGAACUGCAUUAAAAUUUAAGAUUCGUAAAGUUCAGAACUAAAACUAUAAUAUAAAAUAAAUAAAAUUAGAACGAAUAAAAAAUGAUAUCAAGAAAGUGUAGUUGUUGAGUUUGUUGAAGAUGAAAGGAUAAAGUCUCCCACAUGACUAAAAGAGUUUGCAUAAACAAGUCCUAAAUGACCUUGAAACAAUGUAUAUUGUCUUUUCCCAACACCUUGCCCUAACAUUUGAUCAUUCUCACCUGCGAAAGAGCUAAUAAUAGCAAAAUUAAUAACUAGACUUUUACAACAUGCAAAACAAUUUGGUCAUGCUCAAAAUAUUUGCCCCACCACAAGUAUGAUUAGGCUUUCCAGGAGAUAGUUGAUAACGAUAUCUGCAUAUUGAUUAUGUUGAUAAAUAUUAAAGUGUGCCAAAAACAAGAAUGUAGAACAAGUAGAACUAAAUAUUAAACACUUUUGUGCAUGUGCCUGAUGUAGUAUCUCCUAGAUAUACCAAAACAAAACACAAUUUAUCUAAAAACUUCCUAAAAAACUUAAGCAUUGUACAAAGAUCACCCACCUCUCUCACUCCUAACCCUUUUCCUUCAUCACCAACCAUCUUUCCAAUAAACCAACACCUCUCCACUCCACAGUUCAAUCACGUUCUAUCAUUGCUAACCUCUCUCACUCCAAAUCGUUCGAUCACGUUCAGUAAAGAGAGAGUCCAAAUGUAAGUAUAGAUUGAGAAAAUUAAGAAGAAGAAAAAAAUCACCACAGAAACAACAAAAUUAAGCAAGAGUAUAUGAAAUAAACAAAUCGAUCCUUGCGGAACGCAAUUAAAGUAAUUGAAACACACUUUGCACAAAGGAAACACGAUUUGUAGAGGAAUCAGUUCAGUGGUGGACCAAAGGUAGAAGAAGCUUCCAAAGUCAUUCCGAAAGUGUUUGGCAGUGCGAUGAUGAGGUCCAAUGCAGUGGGUAAGGUGAGAGUUAAAGGAGAAAUUAUACGUUUAGAGGAGAGUGGAGAAAUUAGGGGUUUUCUGAGAGAAAUUAUGAGUCUAUUGGAAAAAAAAUACAAAAUUCUUUAUUAAAUUAUUUGAAAAAUAAUUAAUUGAAUUUAUUUACUAGAGUUUGAAAAAACCUAAUGUAGUUCUUCAAGGUUAUGUAAUAAACUCUUAGAUUUUAAUGGAGAUUAAAACAACCUUUGCUAGUCAAAUGCAUUGUUGAAGUUUAUAUAACCUCAUAUAAAUAACCCCCACUAAAAUCAAUUUUUUUAUAGUGAUGGUGGUGUUCAAAUUUUGAAACCAUAACAAGGAUGCUAGAAAUCAAACAAAAUCAAUAAUAAUGAAAAUUCAUCAUUUAAUCAGUCAUUAAAUAUAAUACCUUAUAAGAUAAGUGUUUCUCUGAAGCACAUGAAAUAUAAGAUUAAGUGUAUCUCUUUCCUUACACAAUGGACUCAUUAAUUCAACCUAAAUUUCUUUUCAACCAAUAAAAAAAAACUAUUCUUGUAAGUAAGAAUCACAAGUUUUUCUCAAGAUUGUAAUGAGACUUAGCUUUCAACAAAAUUUCAAUUUUCAAGAAUAUAAUUAGUUAUAAGAGUUGAGAGAAUACAAUUCAAAAUCAAGUUUUUUUUCUCUCUCAUUAGUGUCUCCGUGUGUAACUAAUAACAUUAAACACCUCAUUCUCAUGUACCUUAAAUCAUGCGUUUACAUUUAAGGAUAUGUCGCUAAAGCGAGUCAUUAUCGUUUAAGCAAUCCAUCUUUACUAAAUAGAUAAAAAAAGUCUAUCACUCAAUCUAUAAACACAUCACUUGAUUGAUACCUCAUUAUUUGAGCAAAUUCAUAUCACUUAAACUUCAAAGAAGAAAAAAUUAGUUUGACAUCUCCCUUGAAUGAGCAUCCAAAUCUCAAUGGAGAGAAAAUUAACACUGACUCUCAUUUCCGUAAGCAUUAUACUAUCCCUCAAGUGAUCCCUCAAGUGAUGCAACUUCAAGCAUCAAGCCACCACUUCAAAAUUCUAUCUCAAAUCUCAUGCUCUUUAUUAUUUGAACAAUAAAUCUUUAAAAAAAACUUAUUUUAGAAUCUGCUCAAACUUCAAGUUAUGAUUUGAACGAAUAGUUGUAUAACUUAAGCAUCCAAUUAAAUACUUAAAUAAUAAUAUUUUGUUAUAAAAAAAUAUCACUACUUAUGUGUCAUCACAUUUUCCUUUUGAUAUUAUGAAAAUAUUCUCAUUAACAUAUGUUUUUCGAAAAACGAUAACUUUGCACUCAACCGAUAUUUAUAGAAAACUAGAUUUUUCAUAACAAAAAAUGUUUCUAAGUACCAAAAACUAAUUGUAACACCCCAAAAUUUACAUAUAACUAUUAAAUAAAAGUUCUACCAAUUUCUAUACAAACUUGGAGUUUUUCAAAACAUUCCUAAUACACGAUUAGGAUUUAUAGAAAUACAAAUAUUUACAUAUCCAUUGCUCAAAAUAAAAUUCAGAAACCUCUAAGGCUCUCCUGCACCUGUAUGGUCAUCUACUCGUGUACAUAGUACAGUCAUCGCUGUUUAAACACAACACAAAAAGCAAGGGUAAACUAGUGAAAAUAGAAUUUUAUAAUAUACACACUUAAAUCCAAAAAGAAAACCACAUUACAUGACCAAUUUCUCAAAUUAUUCAAUUUUCUUCAAAUUUCAACAAUGAAACAAUCACAUAGAUCUCACAUGGAUCUACACAUCCAAAAUAUUCAACAAACAACGUCUUUCGGAAGACCCGUAUCAAGUAAGUCCUACCAGAGACUAACACUUGAUCCAAAGAUUACUAGCGAAUCCAACAGAAAGGAUCAGGGUAAGUUCAAUACAACCCAAGCCGUGCAUCUCAUAUGUCACGGUGUGCAUGAACUCCCCCAUUAGCUUCUCACCACCUGAUAUCUUAGUCUAUGUGACUUAGAUCAUCAGGGAAGCUCGGAGAUCUCUCUUACCACAUAGACAUCAAUACUUAAUACACAGCAAACACCAGUCCAUACAUUAUCCCGACAUCAAUACUUAAUACACAGCGAACAUCAGUCCAUACAUUAUCCCAAAUGUAUGAAUUCAAUUUCACACCAUUUCAUCAUACAAUAUCAUUCCAAACACGAUCCACAACAUUCAAAAGCGUAAUUAACAUAAAAAAAACACCUUAAAUAUUAAACCAUCAAAAUCUAAUAUUUUUACAAAUUUAAAUGAUAUAUAAACAAACAACAGCCCUGCAAGAGAAAUUGAAUAUUGGGACCACGUCCCUUCCGCAUUCAGAUCUUCUAUCCUAGGGUGCUAUUAAAAAUUAAAUUUAGCUUCACUUACCUUAAUUGUUUGCUUUCCAAGCAACUUCUAGAAUUUUAUUUCCCACAGUCUGGAUAAACUUCAAGAUUUACGGCCUAAUGCAAGUUAUCCAAACAGAACAAAAUUCAGUAUAUAAUAGAAUAAGUUGAGAGGAUUAAACUUCUCAACUGACCCCACCAAUAUUGAUGACUAAAUCCUAAGGAAAAACAGAGAACAAAAGAUAUUUAGAGUAAAAAUGAACUUACUUUGUUUGAAAAUCUGAUCGGAUAGAAAUGUAGUCUGACUCCCCAUCUACAAUAUGACAUGAUCAGAUUUUGGAAUAGAUGAUGUAUGGGAGAAAAAAUGAAGAGAGAAGGGAGAGGAGAGAAGUUAAUAGAGAGAGAAAGCAUGAAAAAAAGAAAAGAGGAAAAUGAUGGGGCAGGGGGCUGCUGCUUUUUUUAUUUACGGGGGAUUACAUUAUACACAGUUUCUAAUGAUUUUUACACUACUUCAUUUAUUCUCAAUUUGAUUAGCUAAACCCAAAGUUAUAUUUAAGAACAUUUAUAUACAAAUCUCUAACUAAUUCAAAUCAAUGUGUAGAGCUCUCAAUAGCACCAAAUCAUAUUUUUAUUGAUUUAUAAUUACCAACACUGUCAACAAUAAAAGACUUUAUUCAGCUAACUCCCUUUAACUUUUGCUUUGCUACAAAACAAAACAACGUCAUCUCCUAAAAGUUUCCCAACUCAACAAAGAAAAUCUCCGAAACUUGAUCCUAUAAAAAAUUAACACAUUUACUUCGUCGUAUCAAUAAAAAAUCGGUUGAUUUGGAUAAAUGAAGUAUAAAAUCACACAUACUAAAAAAAAAGAGAUAAAAUCCAUUAUAAGAGAAGAAAGAACUUAGAUUUAAUUAGUCUAUCUUGAUUUCUCCUUCGUUAACUCCUCAAACACGUAAUAUAAUCUUAGAAAUGAUAGACAAUCAAAACUGAUUGAAACUUAAAGAAAAAAAAAAGUUUAAGUUUUUAGAGAUUUGAAGUUUAUAAAAACAAAGAAUGACCUAUUUUAAAUUUAUUUUAAAAUAUUAAAAAAACAUUUUACUUUAAACUUAAUCUUCUAAAGUCAAUUAAAUUGAGUCUUACAAUGGGAACAAGUAAAUGCUUUAAAAUAUAGUUUUAACAUAAUUGUAAACUUAAUUUUAACAUAAUUGUGAACUUUUUGAAAUCAAUUUAAAUUAAAGAAGAAACAAAAGAAAAAUUAAUUUUAAAAUCUAAAGUUGGUUGACUUUUCUUUGAAACAUGUGACAAAUUACAACUAGAGAUAAUCCAAAAACAAAAUCCUAAAAUACUAGUAUAUAAAAAUGAUCUCUUAAUUGUAGAUGUUGUUCUUAAGCACCAUACUUUUGUGUAAUACCUCUUUGUAAAAUUGAAACAAAAAUUUUAAGUUCAAAUUAAAAAAUAAAAGUAUUUAGUCUUUUAGUAUUUGGCACGUUUGUUUAUUAAAACAGAAAAUUGAAAUUAAUAUUCAAUUAACCUUAGCAUGGACUCUUUUAUCUUUUCUCCUAUUAAGGUUAUUUUUCUUUCUUUUAAUAAAUGCAAGCAAAUGACAAUUAUUUAAAGACCAAACACCUGAACAAUUAAUGAUAUUGAAACAAAAUUAAGAAAUUAAUUAUUAUUUUUACUAAAACUGCCUUUUUAUAUUAAAAACGAAAUAUGUAUCUAUAUUGAAUCCACUAUUUAUUUAUUUUUAAUGAGAUUAUAUUGUAUUGUAUAAGCAGAGCUAUCUUACUUUUUUAUAUUUAAAUUACAGAAUUUUUCAUAUUUAAACAAACCCAUACAACACAAGAAUAUUAUAUUCAGUUGAUCAUAACCGAGAGCACAUUUUUAAGAAUAAUCAUAAAUUUUUUUUAUAUAUGUAAAAGAAUCUUAAAUUAGUAUAAAAUAUAAAAACAACGAUCUUUUAUUUAAUACGUUUUUACGGUCAAACACUGUCGUCCAAAAUACAGUGACAUUUUUUAAAUUAACUUCAUUUAAGAGUGCGGCUAUUUGUUAAGAAUGCGAUUUUACCUAAUAGUCGCAUUUUAAAAAUAUUUUUUAACCUAACACUAAAGCGCACCACUUACACUUUUAUACUUCUUUUCUUCUUUGACGCUUCGUUUUCUCUUCUCUUUCUGCUCUCGUGCUUCCUCACGUACGUCUUCCUUGAACUUGCAUUGUCUUCUUCAUGCCAUUGAUAAGUUCGUUUUCGAGCUCUCUACUUCUUCUUCACCAUUGGUUUAUGUAUUUUUUUAGUUUCUCUUAUUUGUUUGUUUUCUGCCAUUACUUGAAGGUCACCAUUGUUUCAUUGUCACACUGUUGUUUGAAUUUUUGUUGUGCCGUAUUUGUUUUGUCCCUGCUGUCGCCGCCGCCGUUGGUGUCAGUCCCGCGCCACUCUUCACCAUCACGGUUGCCUUCACGCACAAGGUUGGUGGUGUUUUAAAUUUUUAAAUUUUUUUUCAUGUUAUUAAUUUGUUUAUUUUUUAUUUAUUAUAAUUAGUAUUUUUUAAAAUUUAUAUUAUUUUUGUUUUUAGGUUAGAAUAUAAUUAUUAAAUUAUUAGAUGAUAGAUAGAUUUAUAUUAUUUAAUAUUUAUAAUUAAUUUAAUGAUUUUUAAUUUGAAUGUGUUGGUAUUGACCCUCGGCAAUUGAUACGUACUGGUAUUGAGUCUAGGGGUGUUCAACCCUUGACAAACGUGAGAUAGAACACUCAUUAGUAAACACAUGAAUGACUAUUACAGACAAUAAUGAAUCGAAAUUGGAUUAAAUUUUCGCAUAAGUGAUGAGUAUGAAAGAGGAGUAGAAGAAUUUAUACAAUUUGUGCAAAGUGAUGUGAAUAAUAGUAGUCAUGAUGGAGCAAAGAUUAGGUGUUCGUGCAUUAACUAUUUAAAUGGAAGGAUACUGGAUAUUAAGAAAAUCAGGAAGUACCUUCUAUGUGAUGGGCUUCUUCGAUCUCAUACAACUUGGAUAGGCCACUGUACACAUACAUGUCAGAUUUGUUAGAAUUUAUAGUUGGGGAUCUUGAACUUAAUAUAAAUAUAAUUCAAUUUUGUAUGAUGUCAGUAUCUUUACCUAUAUUUCAAUUUACUUUAUGUUAAAUUAUUAUUGAUUAUGCUUUAACUAAUAACUUGUAGGUUUUUGCAUGAAGUUUCUAUCACUGAUGGGAAUGAAGAUGUGUAUGGAUUCUUAGAUCCCUCAUAUACUAAUCCCACUGGAAUAAAGAAAAUUGAAACUCAAUCAUACAUCACUAACACCCUGGAAAAAGAAGGGAAACAAAUUUAUUUAUGCUUUAUAUUAAUGAGUAAGUUUAAUUAUAAGUCGUCUAUUAUUUCAUGUUUUAAAUAUUUACUAACUCUUUUCAUGGAUGAUAUAGGGGUCAUUGGAAAUUACUUGUCUUAUUAACAGUUGAUAAGACUGUUGUGUGAUUUUGUUCCCUACACAAGAAGUCAUUCACACAUCUGAAGAAUGUCAUUUAUAAGUAAGUACACUAUAAACUUAACUUUGUAUGUUACUAAUUAAGCAUCUACUAAUGCGGUUUUUUGUAUUAAUCAGUUCAUGGCAUGGAUAUAACAUCCUAAAAGGUCGAUCUAAUUCAAAUUUUCAAAAUUUGAAGUGGAUGACAUUAAAGGUUUGUAAUUUCUGUCUUUCUCUUUUCAUUGUUUAUCAAUAUUAACUUUUAUUUUUAUUGAAUUAUAGUGUAAUUGACAAUCAGGAAGCUAUGAGUGUUGCUAUUACGUUAUGUAAUGGAUGAUUACCAUUGUAAGACUAGGCCUUAAAAGUGAUUGGGAUUAGGUAACAUGAUGGUAAAUUAUUUUUAUAAUUCUUUAACAUAUAUGUAUCUUAACACUAAUAAUUGUGUGAACCUUAUUUUGUAAUGCGGUUCUUCACGAAUGAGCAAGCAAUGACUUCGAAAGUUAUAGCAUAUGUGAGACAUUCUUGGUCCACAUAUUUCCUAAAUUUUUAUAACUCUAUGAUAGCUUAUGAAUAGUGUGGGAAAUAGAUAAAUAGAUUGGGAUUAGAUAGAUAGAUAUAUUAUUAGUGUUUGUAAUACACUUUUAUCAACAUCUAUAAUUUGAUUCUUUGAAUUUAUGUAUUUUUCUGGUUGUGUUAUAAUUGAACAGGUCAAUUUAGAUGGGAAUUAUCAUUAAACAUAAUGUACUAACAAAAUUAACGAUAUACAACAACAACUAUUUACUAUAUAUGCAUUCUUAUAUGCAGCGCAAAGAUUUACAAAGGCAACUAUGGUAAAUAGCCGCAUUCUUAAAUGCUAUUUAUAAGUGCAACUAUGGUAAAUAGCUGCAUUCUUAAAUGCAUAACACAUCUCUUUUAUAAAUCAUUCUGAAGCAUAUAAGAAUGCGGUUAUUUACCAUAGUCGCCCUUAUAAAUCGCAUUUAAGAAUGCGGCUAAAUAGUCACCUUCUUAUAUGUUUGACAUAAGACUACGUGUACAUCAAAUGCGACUAGAAAGUCAUCGUUGUAAAGUGAAAAUAUCCGCCCUCUUUUUCUUGACUUCUAUGAGAUAAUAGAAGAACCAAGAAAAAUUCAAUACAUCUCUCAGUUGUUUGACAACCUCCCCAAUCUGAGUCGCAAUAAGUUGUCAAUGUCAGAUGGUUCUUGGAUGACAAUAGUAAUCCUUGUUCAGGUGAUCCUUUGAUGUUUUUUAGGACUCAAAUUGCGGCAUCCCAAUGAGAUUUUCGUGGAACCGGUAUAUAUUGACUUAAACACUAUGUCAGGCCGAGUAACCGUGAGGUAUAUUAAUUAUCAGUCGUCCCACAAGUUGCCUGUAUUUGACUGGAUCCUUUAAUAACUCUCCAUCGUUUGAGUGUGAGUUUUAGGUAUUGCUCCAUUAGAAAUUUGUCUAGACGAUCACCUGUGAGUCCCGUAUCCUGCAAAAUAUCAAGCACAUAUUUUCUUUGUGACAUGUAAAUACUAGCUUUGGAACGGAAAAUAUUCAAUCCCUAGAAAAUAUUUUAAGUCUUCAAGAUCUUUAAUGCGAAAUCGUCGUAAUAGACCAUCUUUAAGACGCUGCAUUUUUGUCAGAUCAUUCAUUUCCUGUCAAAAGAAUAUCGUCCACAUAAAUCGAGAGGACAUUAAAUGAUGAGUUAUUUUGUCUUGUGAAUAAAGAGUAGUCCACCUUGGACUAUUGAAAUACUGGAGAUUUAAUCACAUGAGAAAAUGUUGAAAACCAUCUCUGGACCAUGUCCGGAGGCUUGUCUGUCGAUGAUGCCUAGGUGACAAGUCCAUGUAAAUAAGUUCGUGCAAUUUGCCAUGUAAGAAGGCCUUUUGCACAUCCAGCUGGUGAAUAAACCAAUUUUUGGUUGUUGCAAUGGUGAGGAGACACCUCAAAGUUGUUAAUUUUGAUGUUGGUGAAAAAGUUUCGCAAUAAUCAACACCUUCAAUAUGAGUGUACCCUUUUGUAAUAAGGUGCGGCUUAUAUCUUUCGACGUUGUCAUCCGAUUUGUACUUUCAUCUUAUAGGUUUCUGCCCGGCGGGUAACUGAAGAAAAUCAUGAAUUUUGAAAGAAAAUGAUGCAUAAGAUACCUAGUUCCAUUCGACUAAUAUUGGAUAGUGGUUGAAUGAUUGACUUGGGAUCCCGUUACGUAGUCUUGAAGUCAAAAAAGUGAAGUUAUUGUCUCCACUAAUCAUGAGAUUCUAUCAUUAUUAAAUUAAUUGCAUAUAAUUACGUAUAAUUGCGUAUAAUUUGAUAAUCCUUAUUUCUUUUAAUAAAUGAGAUUAUUUUAUUAUUUUAAUUGAUGUAUGUAUUUCUAUUUUGAAAAAUUUUAUUUCUGGCAGGAUUAUCCACUCUCACCCGUCAAAUAUAUUAUGAAUCUAAGUUUUAAUGAAAUCAACAUUUGGCGAUCCAUGGAGGUAUGGAGGUAUUGAAGAACAUGAAAUUUAAAAAACUUAAUUAAUGAUUUGCUUGGGAGAGAGAAAUCAUGACAUUUUGAAGUCUUUAAAUGUGAUUAUUUAGCCAAAGUUCAUAUAUAUAUUUGCAUAAAUUUAGUUAAUUCCCCUUACAUCUUUCAGGUUUAUAAAAAUACAUCUGUUUUUUAACGUUCUUUUGGUUUUCAGCAAUUUACCUGCGGUCAAGGUAUUGGAGGUGUGGAAUAAAUAUGUGUUGUUUCUAUAUGAUGUGUGCAGAAAUGCACAUAUUUAAAUGAGGUGACGGUGGAAUAUUUACUCUCCUCAUGAGCACAAAGUAGGAGAAAUCUAUAAAUAAUAUUGCAUAAACUAAUGUCAAAGGAAAUUCUCCAUAUAUCAUCACAAAAGAAAUUGAGAAAAAAAUAUCCAACAUCCUCCCUUAAUUAUGAUUUGGAACAACCUUCCCAAUUUGAGUCAUGAUAUUGUUUUUCUCAAUCAAAUUUUCAUUCAUAGCCUUUUGCCAUUUGGGGUGUUGAAUGACAUCAUCAAGUCUCACAGGUUAUGAUUCUGCAAGAAAAGCAAAGUGAACAAAAUCUCCAUUGUCGUCAACUUCAUCAUCAAGAUUUACUUCACAAUCUUGAAGAUGUACAGGUUGUCGAUGUUGCCUUCUUGGUCACUCCAUCAUAGUUGCAAUUGGAGUUGCAACUUCAGGUUGAAUUACAACUUCAGGUUGAACUGCAGGUGCUUCAAGAGUGACUUCAUCUUCCACAUCAUCGUUCAAAACGUAAAUAUAUCAUUUUUUUUAAUCCAUUUCAACUGCUGCAUUUCAUUGUCAUUCCUCAUCUUCGGCAAAUGUAACAUCACGACUAACAAUCACCUUCUUUGUUAUUGGAUUGUACAAUUUGUAUCCCCCAUGCUUAUAUCCAAUGAAAAUGGUUUUCCCUGCCUUAUCAUCCAACUUUGAUCUUGCUGCCUUGGGAACAUGAGCAUAAGUAAUUGACCCAAAUACCUUCAAGUGUUGCACAUUGGGUUUGAAUCCACUUCAUGCCUCAAUCGGAGUUGUGUUAGGAACACUCUGAGUGGGUGAUCUGUUUAUCAAAUAUACCGCACAUGUUACGGCCUCAGCCCAAAAAUAAUUUGGCAUACCUUUCGCUUUAAGCAUGCUCCUCGCCAUGCCCAUGAUUGUUUUAUUCCUUCUCUCAGCAACUUCGUUGUGUUGAGGUGUGUAGGAACAAGUUAUGUUAUGUUGCAACCCAAGUUCUUCACAAUGCCUCUUGAAUUCAUUAGACUUGUACUCACCUCCUCCAUCACUACGCACCAUCUUAAUUUGUCUGUCACUCUGCCUUUCAACAAAUGCUUUAAAUAUUUUAAAGUUAUGGAAUACCUCAUCCUUGUUUUUCAAUACAUAAAUCCAGGUUUUCCUUGAAAAAUCAUCAAUAAAGGUUAACAAAUACUUAUUACCUCCAACUGAUGAUAUGUUCAUUGGGCCACAAACAUUUGUAUGAACAAGCUCCAAAGGAAAUUUUGCACGCCAAGGCUCCUUAACAAAUGGCAUACUGUGAUUCUUUCCAAAAAUGCAAGCCUCACACAAUUGAUCAGGGUGAUGAAUAUGAGAUAAACCAUUUACUAAAUUUCAUUUUGAGAGAUUUUCCAAACUCUGGAAAUUUAAGUGCCCAAAGCGUAAAUGUCAUAACCACGAUUCAUUAUUCACUAUUGCAUUCAAGCACUUGAAAUCACCCAUAUGAAUAUCUACUAGAAACAUGCGGUUUUUUGAUAAAAAGGAAUUAAGAAUCAAACUACCUUUUUUAUCAAAAAUUGAUAAUUUAUUUUCAACUAUGUGCAUCACAUAACCCUUCUCGGCCAGCUGUCCCAUACUCAACAAAUUACUUUUCAUAUCAAGUACAUAGAAAACAUCAUAGAUGUACCUGUGAUCACCAUUCUUCAAUGUGAUAAGAAUUCGCCAUUCUCCAGUGACCGGAACGAACCUGCCAUCACCGAAUUUCACUUUUGUGCGAAAUGAGUCAUCCAAAUCUGCAAAUAGCUCCUUCUGACCACACAUAUGAUUCGUGCAACCUGUAUCCAAAUACCAAGUCUGGUUGUUUGGAGUUUCAUUUGAUGUGGUUGUCAUUAAUACUUCAUGAUCAUCUUCAUCUUGUUCGUGAUUACUAUCUUCUUGAGCACAAUUGGAAGCAUGAUUAUCACCUUUUGAUCUGCACUCAUUUGCAUAAUGGCCACGUUUAUGGCAAUUAUAACACUCAACAUUUGAUUUAUUAUAAAUGUCUCCUCGUCCUUUGCAACCACGUUCCCCUCGCCAAGCGCCUCCAUGAUUCUGGCCACCACGACCUUUGCUGAAAUAGCUACCAUGUUUAUGAUAUGAGCUACCAAUUGAGGCUUGUGUUUGUAAAGCCUGUUCAAUUGGUUUUUCAAUCUUAUUGUCNNNNNNNNNNNNNNNNNNNNNNNNNNNNNNNNNNNNNNNNNNNNNNNNNNNNNNNNNNNNNNNNNNNNNNNNNNNNNNNNNNNNNNNNNNNNNNNNNNNNAAAUAAAUAUUAUUAAAUAUAGAUUAUAUUUUGGAUUUAAUAAUUUAUAUUGAUGUAAAUUUACCUUUAAUUACAACAUAAUUCUUAAAAUAUUACUUGAAAGUUAUUAAAUAUAAUUUUUUUCAAAAAUAAAAAAUAAUUACUUUUUAUUUUAAUUAAAUUAAAUAUUAUUUUAAAAACUAAAAAUAUUAUUAUAUCUAAAUUAGUUUAUAUUGAUAAAUAAUUUUAAAAUUUGUAUUAAUUACCUAGAUUUUAACUAUCAAUUAUUCAAAUUUUAAAGUUUAUAUAUAACUAAUUAAAUAUCAAUUUAAAAAAUAUUUAUGAAUAAUAAAAAUUAAUUUAGAUACUAUUUAUUUUUUUUUAGUAUCUAAAUAUAAUAAUUAAUUAUUUUUCCUUAUUAAAAUUAGUUUCUAUUUAAUUAAUUUUAAAUAAAUUUACUUUUAAUUAUAUUAUAAUUGUUGAAAUAUAUCUAUCUUGAUUCAGUGACAGUGGUAGCUCUUAGACUAAGUCAAGUCGUGGUCUUUUUAUCUUUGUUCUUUUGUAUGUUUAAUUAACUACUAAUAUUUAUUUUAAAUAACUAAAAUAGAUAAUUAAUAAAUAUUUUUAACGUAUGUUUUUUACUGUAUGAUAAAUUAAUGAAAAAUAUAAUUUUUUAAAAAUAUAUGAAUUAAAUUUUAUAUUCUUAGUUUAUAAUAUUAUACAAUUUUAUUUUAUUAAUUAUAACAUAAUUAUGCUGAAUUAGGUCUAUUUUGGAUUCCACUUUCCGCUAUAAGUUGACGUCAAGUCAUCCUUCUUUACUUGAUUUUAGGUUUAUAAAUAAUUUAUAUGAUGUAAAAAAUUAUUUUUAGUUCUAACAUAAUUAUUGAGAAAUAUCUAUUUUGGGUUCUACUCGGAGGUGACUAUCACCUAGUCAAGUUUUCUUUCUUAAAUAUUACUUAUAUUUUAGUAUAAAUAUAACAAUAUUUAUCCAUAUUAUUAAAAUUAAAUAAGUAUUUUAAUGUAUAAAUGAUAUUAAAAAUUAAAUUUUAUAGUAAACAAAAUAUUUUAUUAUUAAAAAAAAUAGAUAAUUGUAUGAUGAGUAUUUAUGUUGAUUUAAUCUUAAAAAUUAUAUGGAUAUUUAAUUUAAAAAUAAAACGAAACAGAUUAAAUUGAAAAAUAUAAAAUGAAAAAAUAUUAAAAUAAAUCUGGAGGAAUAAUAAAUUGGAUGGUUGAUAAGAUGAAGCGUGGUGAAUGGGGAAUUAAGUGCGUGAAGGAGUUGGCGGUUUCGUAUUUAAAUAGUUGAUGAGAUGAAGAUGAAGAUGAAGAUGAAGAGUGUGACACUGUUUUUCCUCUUUCUCCUUUUAUUGGAAGCCCUUUGGUGUGAAGGAUGUUUGAAGGAAGAGAGAGAAGCACUUUCCGGCUUAUAUUCCCGUUUGGGCAAUCCUUUAAUUGGGGACGUGGACACAGAUUGUUGUCAAUGGGGAGGAGUGGAAUGCAACUCCUCCACAGGGAGGGUGGCCGGACUCGAUAUCUUCAUGUGGGAUUCAAUCUCACAACACUAUAUUAAUUGCUCGGAUUUUUCUGUCUUCAUAGAUUUGAAGAACCUCUCCUUCAUAGGUAGGUUGUGUGGGGGUGAAGGUAUGAAUCACUCAAACUUUAUUUCUCUUUACUUACUAUUUUACAUUACUUUACAUACUUUCCAGGCUUGCCAAAUCUGGAGCUCUUUCCGAUCAAGAACCUGCUGGACAACUUCAAUAAACAUUCUUCAUUCCACGGUGAGACUACCUAUUAGUCUUUCUUAUUCUAAUAAAUCACAAUAAUCAUAUUUCUCACUUUAUGUUUUAAUAAUAUAUUUUCACAUUUUCUUCGUUUCUUUCACAAUUUUUUGAUUAUAUUCAAUACAUGUACAUAUAUAAGUUUUCGAAACUCUGUCAUCAAAGCUGCCUAAUCUGGAGGUCCUUCGCAUAAGUGGGAUCUAUUUAACCAAUCACAUCUUGCCAUCCCUCGAAGAAUUCACAUCUUUAAAGAUACUGAGUUUGCAGGAUACUGGAUUGGAUUCGGAUCUUCACAUAGAAGGUACGUAUAGCAUUUUUUAUUUUUUUAUCUCUCAUUAAAUAAAAAUUAAUUUUAAAAAAAAUUAAUUAUUAUAAAAACUAUUCAUCAAUAAUAUAAACUAAUUUAAAAAUUAAUAAUUUUUUAAUUUUUAAAAUAAUCUUUAAUUUAAUUAUUAUAAUAAUUAAUUAUUUUUAGUAUCUAAAAUUAGUUUCUGCAAAUUUUCCUGAAAGUACGAAUAGGAUUAAACUUUUCCAUUUCAUUAAUAAAGAGGAGCUAUGGGAAUUUACGGAGGAUAUAUUCUUUGCAGCUUUAUGCUCAAAAUUGAGGAAUCUUGAGGUCCUUGACUUGUCAUACAACAACUUUAACCACACUGAUAUUGGGUCUGCUCUUAGUGGACUCUCAUCCCUCAACUCCUUAUAUUUAGAAAACAGUGGAUUGACUUGGAGAUCAAUUUUAAGUAUGUCUCAUAUAGAAAUCUUCAUUAUUUGUUUUUUUAUUACAAAUUAUAUCUAAUUCUCUAUAAUCGGAAUAUUCUAUUGUUAGAUAUUUCAAAAUUGAGUUCCUUGGAGAUUCUUAACUUAGAUGAUAACGGGUUGAAUAACUCUAAGAGUAUCUUCUGGCAUAUAAAAGGUUAGUUGUGAGUAUAAAAGGUUAGUUGUGAUUGAUAUUGGAUAAUAUUUUAUUUAUGUUUCUUGUUCUUAUUAUUUGAUACUUUCAAUUUUGUUUAACAGAUAAAGAUGAAUUUAAAUGGCCAAUCAAUUUACAAAAGUUAUGGCUGAAUUACAACAACUUGGCAGACGAAUUUCUCCCAUCUCUAAGUGGUCUUCCACUUCUCAAAUCUCUUCAUUUAAAGGCCAAUCAACUAAAAGUAACACUAGAUAUCAACGGUCAGUAUUUCUAUAGAAUAUGUUUAAAAUAUUAAAAAAAAUAUUUCUAGAUAUUAUAUUCUAAUAUUUUUAAAUUAUUAUAAUAUUAAACGAUUUGUUAGAAUCAAUAAUUUAAUCAGGAGUCUAAAAAACUAUACAGUCAAUUACAAAAUCAUAAUUAAUUUAAUAUUAAGAUAAUUAAUAUUAAAAAUCUCCACAAAUUUAUAUUCUAAAAUAUUGUAAAAAAACAACACUCGAUGUAUUACACUUAUUUUUUAACUGUCCUGUCAUUGUUUCUUUGCCAAGUAAUUCUUAGAAAAAUUGGAACUCUUUAAAGACUAUGAUUUCUUACUAUGAUUUUUAGUUUAAUUUUUACUAAUAAGUUACUUUCAAGUUAUUUAUAAAUUCCCACACUAAGAAUUUAGAUGUUUAAAAUCUACUGAAAAUUUCUUCCAUAAAACUAAGUGAGAUUCAGACCACUUAUUCUAGAAAAAACAGCUUUUUUCAGACCAAUAUUUUGUUUACUUUAUUCAAAUUUAUUUUACUAUUAUUAAAAAAUAAAUCACGCUUUUAAAGUUUUAAAAAAUAAUAAUAAUUACUAUUGGUCCUUUGUUUUUAAAUUUGAAUAAAUUUAAAAUAGUAGUAAUUUUUUAUUGGAAGAUAAGUUUUUAAACUAUUUUUUAAUUGAUUCAAGAUGUGAAAUUUGUUCUAUUAGAUUAAUUUACAUGAAAAAUUACAGAAUCCAAUUUAUAUUAAGAUAAUGAAUAGUGGUAAUUAUAUAAAAAUCACAUGAAAAUGCAUGGUUCAUAUUCUUAGUGAGUAGUGAUGAGUUCAGAUGCUUUAUUUAUCAGAGAAUGAUGGAUUUAAAUGGCCCACCAAUUUACAAGAGUUAUGGUUGAGUCACAACAACUUAAGCAACAAUUUUCUUUCAUGUCUGAGUGGUCUUCCACGUCUCCAAUCCCUUGAUUUAAGCUUCAAUCAACUAGAAGGAGCAAUAAAUAUAAGUGGUCAGUAUUUUUAUGUAUUUUUUCCGCUUUAUUAUAAUAUUUUAGAAUUAAGAUUAAUUAUUCACUUAGUUUGAAUAAUUGUACAAAUUUUAUCUUAUAGUUUAUAUUCUUAAAAUGUGAUGAUAUAUGUUUUGUAUAUCGAAAUUAUACAUAUAGUUUUAUUUCUUAAACUAAUAUAGUCUAAAGAUAUAAGAGGGAUUUACGUUUAUUAGUACAUUUAAGAUAUAUUUAUUAAUUUAUGAGAUGAAAAGAAAAUAAAUAAUCAAUUAUUUAUUAAAUUUUUUAAUUUUUAAAAAAUAAAAAUAAGCAACAAUUUCUCUUAAAAUAAAUUUAAUAAAUAAUUAGUUAUUUAUUUCCUUUUCAUCUCAUAAUUAAUAAAUAUAUCUUAAAUGCACUAAAUAAACGUAAAUCUCCUGUAUCUUUUUAACUAUACUAGUUUAAAUAAUAAAACUGUAUGCAUAACUUCUAUAUACAAAACAUAUAUCCAUCACAUUUUGAAAUCAAAGAUUUCUAAAACAAGAAAAUGUAAUAUAUAUAUAUAUAUAUAUCAAAUAAACCAUCUCUAUUUAUAAAGUUUUCAUGUUCUGAACUUACACUAAGAAUCCAACUCAACAUGAAAUACGUGAAUUAAUUAAUUUUGUUUACCUCUAUUUUAGCCUCUAAGAAAAUAUAUUAAUUUUGUUUACCUCUAUUUUAGUCUCUAAGAAAAGAUUUCACAACUAAACUAAGUUAGACGUAGCAAAGAUUAACCUAGUCGUGUUAGAUCUCACAUACAAGACUAAAAUGUACCUAAUGCAGACAACACUAAAAACGAUAGUUUUGAGAUUUGGGAUCUGAGAAAAAAAAUCUUACUCUAAAACAAAAUAGAUUAUUGUAAUCUCUAUUAUGUUCUAUAAGGUGACUUUUAAUUAAAAAAAAGUUGAAUAAUUGGGUUAGAAAUUUAGAGGAAAGAUAAAAAGAAUGUGAGAAAAAAUGUUCAAAGAAUUGUAAUCUUUAUUUUUUUUAAACCAUCCCCACAAAAAGAUCUUACAGUCAAUAUAUAAAAUCAUUACUCUUAUUUAUUAAGUUUAAUACAAUGUCAAUUAAGAAAAUCUAUUUAAUCAAUCAAGUAAUUAAAUAUCAUUGGUAUUUGAUUUUUAAGAUAAUUAAUAUUUCAAAAGUCCAUAAAUUACAACACACAACCAUUUGUAUUAUAAAACAAAGCAUUGCACUCUUAUAUAUACUAUUAAUUAAUAUAUAUUAUAAAACAUAUUUAUCGAUAACAAAAAUCAUUAAAAAUCCAAAAGAAUUUAUGAGUAAAUUCAAAUUAUGGAUAAAUUUUAAAAAUAUAGUCCAAAAUUUAAAAUUUAAAAAAUAAAUAAUCCAAAUAUAGUUCAAAUAAAGUUAAAAUACGAUCUAUUAAUUGAAUAAAUAGGUAUUAUAAAUGUGUUUUUAGUAGUUAUUUUUCAAAUCUUUGUUUCUUUAUCAAAUACUUAGUAAGAGUAUUCAUGUUGAAAAUGAUUUUUUACUAUCAUUUUUGCCUUUUUUUUUCCUUAAAAAAUGGUGGAAGUCAAACUGUGAGAGUUUAAUUUACAUUAACAAAGUCAACUUUUAGAGGUUCUAACAUCAUAGUUUUUGGAAGAAAAAAACUUUUGAUUAUUUAAAAGUAAACUAUUUUUUUAACGCGAAAUAAAUGAAUGUUAAUUGAUUUUGAUUAAUUUUUAUUUUUUCUCUUGCAGGAUUAUCAACUUUGAUAAAUUUGACGAAUCUUGAUCUAAGCUAUAAUAAUAUUCAUUAUUUUGUGGCCAAUCAAGGUAUUUAAGAAAAUUAAAAUUAAAAAAGAGGAAGAAAAUAUAUAUUAGAUAAAUUCAUGAUAUUGGCACGUUAAUUCCAUUAUUUCCUUGAAAUUCCUAUAUUCACAUUUUGCAUAAAAUAUAUUUGUCCCCUUCUUGGAGACAUAUUUACUCUAUUCCAUUUAGCAUAAUUAAAGUUUAUUUUACAUUUUUUAGUUAAUUAAAGUUACAUAUCUUUCAGACUCAAAAAGAGUAAGUAGAUUGGAAGCCCUUAAUUUAGAUGGAAAUAUGAUAGAUGGAAAAAAGCUAAGGGAGUCAUUACGAGCUUUAUCAUCAUCCAUGAAGGAGCUUCAAAUGUCUCACAAUCAUUUUAUAGGAACACUUUUAGCUGAAGGUAAAUAAUACAUAUGAUUUUCAUGAAAUAAAUUAAUUUUGUAGUUCUUACAUUAAGAUUCUUAUAAUUUUUUUUUAUUGGGCAGAUUUUCACGAUUUAAGUAAGCUAGAACUUUUGAAAUUGGAACAAAAUGAUAACAUGGAGAGUGAAUUUUUUAAAAGUAUUGGGAAUUUGACGUCCUUGAAAGUACUGUCUCUUUCAUAUUGUCAGAUAAAUGAUGCCCUUCCUGCUGCUACUGGUAAUUAUAUUAUUAUUCAGUGUUAUUUAUAACAUGUAUGUUUUAUUUAAUUUUUUCUUAAUUUUGUUAAAAUCUUUAUAUCCUUCUUGUUAUAACACUUGCAAGAUGUUUUCUUUUUUUCUUCAAAUUUUCAUUCAGAUUGGUUUAAGCUGAAGAAGUUGGAAGAGUUAAAUCUAAUACAAAAUGGAUUUGAAAGAUUUCUUCCCAAAUCUUUCAUUAACAUGACAUCUCUUCGGAAGUUGGAUCUUUCUCAAAAUCACUUCAUGGGAAAGUUUGAUUCUAACAUUGCAACCCUUACAUCACUGGAAUAUUUUGAUUUUACAAAAAACCAAUUUGAAGUACCUGUUUCAUUUACACCAUUUGCCAAUCAUUCACGCCUUAAGUUUGUCUAUGGUAAAGGCAACAAAGUCAAAUUGGACUCACAACACAGUUUGCAAACUUGGAUUCCGAAAUUUCAGUUAGUGAGUCUUAGCUUGUCUUCAAGCAUUGAAACUAGUUCUUUCCAGCUUCCCAAAUUUCUUCUUUAUCAAAAAUAUUUAACUAGUCUAGAUUUAAGUAGUUUGAAGUUGGAAGGAGGGUUUCCUCAUUGGUUGUUAGAAAACAACACAAGGUUGACUGAAGUUGUUUUUAGAAAUUGUUCUUUGAAUGGUACUAUGCAAAUACCAUUGCGUCCCCUUCUUGAGUUACGAAGUAUUGAUGUGUCUAGCAAUAUCAUAAUUGAUGAAAUCCCAAGCAAGAAUAUCAGUUUUAUUUACCCAAAUUUGAGAUAUUUAAACAUGUCUAGAAACCACAUCCAAGGUUCAAUUUCUCGUGAGUUUGGCCAAAUGAAAUUGUAUUUGUUGGAUCUUUCAUACAACCAAUUGUCAGGAAAAAUAUCAGAGGACAUAUUCAAAGCUUGGCACCAACUUGAUUUAUUGGAACUUUCAAAUAAUAAGUUGGAGGGACCCAUUUUUACAAUACCCACUAAUUUGGAGUUUUUAUCAUUGAAUGAUAAUAACUUUAGUGGCAGACUUCCUUGGAACAUUUUUAACACAUCCAUUGUCUCAUUGGAUGUAAGCAAUAAUCAUUUGGUAGGAAAGAUUCCAAGCCUUUUGAAUAAUUUAUCAACAUUAUGGGAACUUCGUAUGUCCAAUAACCACUUUGAAGGAUUCAUUCCGUUAGAAUCAACACAACUUAAAGAUCUAAAAUAUUUAGAUCUCUCCCAAAAUAAUUUGUUUGGUCUUGUACCAUCAUUUAUAAAUUCUUCUGUGAAAUUUAUCCAUUUGAGCAAUAAUCAUUUAGCAGGAUUGCCCAAAAAAAUGUUCACUGAAAACUCUCCUCUAGUGAUGUUGGACCUUAGUUACAACGAAAUAUCUGGUGGCAUUCAGGAUAUGGUUAAAGACCUCAGUUAUUCAAAGUUGAAUUUUCUCUUUUUAAAAGGUAAUCACAUUACUGGGGAUAUACCUAAGCAAUUAUGUCAAUUGAUAAAAUUAACCAUGCUAGAUCUUUCAGACAAUAAACUCUUGGGAGAAAUUCCCCAUUGCUUGGGGACAAUGCCUUUUGAUAAUAACAACCUUGAUCCAUUAUUAAAAGCAUCCAAGGGAUGUUUUGUUGAAGAAUAUAUUCUACAACAAUCACAAUCAGAGCAUAAGAAAGAGAAAUUAAGUUUCACUUCGAAGAAAAGAAUUGAUACUUACACGGGAAGCAUCCUUACUUAUAUGUGUGGAGUUGACUUAUCUAAUAAUAAAUUGAAGGGGAAUAUUCCUUACGAGCUUGGAAACUUGACAAAAAUCCAAGCAUUGAACUUGUCUCAUAAUGAUUUGAUUGGACAAAUUCCAGAUUCAUUCUCGAAGUUGGUGCAAACAGAGAGUUUAGAUCUUUCUUUUAAUAAGUUGAGUGGUGAAAUUCCUUCUAAACUCAAUAUUCUAACCUCACUUGAAGUUUUAAGUGUGGCACACAACAACUUAUCAGGCCCAAUACCUGAAUGGACAAAUCAAUUUUCCACAUUUGAUGAGAGUAGCUAUGAGGGUAACCCAUUUCUUUGUGGACCUCCAUUACCAAAGAGUUGUCAUCCAGCUCCUAUAGUUAUUCCAAAUGACUUGGAUUCUGACAAAGACGAU